RNAcentral lists this long non-coding RNA (82657 nucleotides) under Zea mays. RNAcentral's name for it is "long non-coding RNA (ZMAY_LNC002829)". Lineage: Eukaryota; Viridiplantae; Streptophyta; Magnoliopsida; Poales; Poaceae. The record is from RNAcentral.
GGGUUCAUGGUCAUUUUGACAACAUUUUUUUGGCAAAAAAUGAUGAGAUCUCCCAUCCUUUGCUCCCUUUUUUUUUGUAGAUGGAGUAUCUAUCAGCGUUGAACCAUGAAGAUACCAGAUUAGCUGUUGCAUGUGAAAGAGAAUUUUUGGCAGUUCUUGAUGGUAACUGCCGAACUCCAAUUGCAGCCUAUGCUUACCGUGACAAUGAUGGGAAUUGCUCAUUCCGCGGUCUAUUGUCUUCCCCAGAUGGAUCUAAAGGUAUCCUUGAUUUUCGACUGAAAAGAGCUUACAGUGAUUUUGUUGUUUCCAUCAUUGAACGGCAACACCUUGUCACUUUUAUGGUUCUGCUUACAGUAUUUGAGACAACAAGAAGUGGACCGUACUCUUUUGACGACAUGGUUGAGAUGGGCAAAGAUGCUGGUCAUGAGCUGAAGGCAAAGGCUGGGCCUGGCUUCUUUGAUAGCUUGCAAUGAAAAGAAUGAGCGGCCAUGAGCAAUUUCAAUUGUCACUCUUUUGGGUAGAAACAGAGGGCCCAAGUAGAGUGUUGAGAGGUUUGUUUUUGUUUAUUCUUUCUCCUACUAGUUCUGCUAGAGAAGGGUGUACCUGGUGUAGUGGUGAGCUGAGUCAUCAGGUCGCGGGUUCGAAGCAUCCAGUCUCCGUAUUUGUGGGAGAAGGUUUGUCUCGGUUUAUCUCUUUUCCGCUACUCAUAUGGGAGAAAUGUGGGAGCCUCAGUCUGCUCUUUUUUUUUUCCAUACUAGUUCUGCUAGUGCCUUGUACUAUCACUCGUAUUGAGCAGCCCCAUUCAGCUUUGUAGUAUCUCACUCUGGGUUAGAGCCUUUAUAGGUAUCUGCACAGCACAGCUAUAUGUUUUGUCGAAGAGGUAUCUGCACAGCUACGUUCUCGGAAGACUCCAGCAGCCAGCUGCGUCAGCACGAUCAGAUCAGUCAUGCUCGUGCCCAUCCAGCAGCCAGCAGUCGAGAUUUCAGAUUUGUUGCAGCGAAUAUGAUUUUAAAAGUCUGAACCGAUUUGCUGCAGCGAAUAUGGUUUAAAAAACCGGACCGAAGGCAGUUUUGAUAUUCGGGUUGUUCACUUCGGAUUGAAAUUAUAGAGAUAAAAAUACAGUAAAAACAAAGAAGCUGGUAUGGAUUAAAGAACGAACAAGUUGAUUAAUGUGAUGUUUACUCCGGAUCUAGAUAUAAAAAUGUGCAUAUGCAUAUUUCCCCCACGUUGUUCCAAUAUAACAUUGUCAUCCAUUUUUAUGUUUUGUCGAGAUUUGGAUGUUAGAAAAUGUGCAUGUACGUAACGUCAGUUUCACCGCUGCACAAGCGGUUUGGCAGCGCAGCAGGUGCGCCUCUCGUCUCCUCCACUCCAAGACAGUACUAGACAGCAACAGUCCUGACUGACCGGACCGAUCCUGUGCGAUCAGAACAGCCAGGCAUGGAUUCCAAAUUCCCAAGGUAAAUUUUUUUUGGAGACAUGGCAACUUUAGAAGAAUGGGUGGCACACAAGGAACUGAUGUUAUGUUUAGCGGUUCAGAGAGAACGGUCUCAAUACAUAAAAAGACCGACGAGGCCACGAAAACCACCGCACAGGUUUUUUUUAAUAUAUGAGGAUGUUCAUGUUUCUCAUGAAACCAGACUAUGAGACUGGCAUGUUUGUCCUUUUAUUGACACGUCAUCACAUAUGCUUGUAACAUUCCACGCAGCACUGCAGAGUGCAGAGCAUAACUCAGCGAAAGAAACUCUAUCUACAGGUGACAUGCGGCUGAAAAACGGAGUUCAUAUGGUGGGCUGGCGGCCACCACCACCUGGACCAUUCUUUAGACGGUUCUUGAUGCAGAGGACGGCGCAAAAGGCCCCUCUACUCGGCGUUUUCGUCGAGGUGGAUAAGCUUCCCGCUGAUCCUCCUGGCAAGAUGGACCACCAUACAAUUACAUACAGGCAUCAGCACACCUACGUGAUUCCAUUUCGUACGAACACAUCUAGCUGCUCCAGUAACCAGCAGAACUCCAAACCGGAACACCGAACACCCUAGACAGCUCUCUGCACCUGCACGGACACGCAGGGUCGUAACAGAAAGAAAAAAAAACAAACCUUUCAUGCCGAGGCUUCUCGUCAGACAGAACCUUCAGCAGCCUCUCCUCGAACGGCGUCGCGUGCCAGCUUACCUUCUGGUCCUGGCAACAGGGCAAAAGACUAGCGUAAAAAAACCGUGUCGCCUCACGAAUCAUACUUUGCAAGCCAAUCACAAAUUCACAAUAUGGUGCGUGUGCGUGCGUGCGUGCGUUCGUACCUCCUUGUAUUUGGUUGUGGUGUUCGGGAUGCCGUUGCCGUCCCACGCCUUGGGCAGCACAGGAGUAGGCUUGUCGGUCUCCCCCUCCCAGUCCAACCCGAACGCAGGAAAGAAGGGCACAUCAGAGACGUUCGCCCCACACCGUGUCUUCUCCUCCUCCGUUCCAACAAAAUUGCUGCUGCCGUCGUCGGGGCUGCCGUCAUCCGCGGACGAUGACGAUGGCUUCAGCCAAUGAGACAGGCUUGCGACACCACGCUUCCCGCGUCCAGAACUUCGCGUCGAUAGCUCUUCGCGUCCGUCCUGCUGUUCCAAGCCGUUCUGGCACUUGGGUUCAUCGGGCGACAUCACUCCGUCCUGCGCUGCACGGCUGUAAGUAUUUGGGAAGGAUCCGUGCUCUGAAGAUCCGGCGAACGCUGAACGUGUAGGCGGCUGGUGAGCCUUGUCGCCGGAACCUGCUGCGCUCAGGUUCCUUCUUUUUGGAGGGUUGGGUGAUAGCACAGUAGGAGACUCGGCGGCUUUCAGUUCCAUCCACUGCAUCUUGUUCUCGAUGGGGCGCAGGACAGGGUAGAUGAACGCCCUCGCGCGCUUCCCAGGCUUCCAAGCCUCCUUGUGAGCGGCGGCGUAUACGGUGCCAGGAGUCUGGAUGUCACCCCUGAGCACCAGAGGGGUUGGAUAGGGCGAGUCACUGGAGUCGGUGCUUUGGUCUCUCACCACGUUCUGGUGGCACGAAGGCUUAACUUCUUCUAAGGAUGGUUGAGUCUCUGAUCCCGUCCUGAGAGUCCUCCCUUCAUCAGUGUCCUGCUUAUGUAGUACAUCGUGAUCAUCGGAGUUGAGCCUGCAUUGAAAUUUUGAAAUGAAUCAUGCUCGUCAGAGUUGAGUCCGUACUGAAAAUUUGAAAUAGAAAAUUCACCAAAUUAUGAUAAUGGGGUAAAUGUACUUGUCCACAGGUAACCCACUCGUGAAAAAGAAUGGAAGUGAUUACUCACAGUUCAGAUGAGUUCUCUUCAACUACCACUACAUGUUUCGUCUGCUGCACGUUGGUCGGUGUAUCGCCGCACUGUAAACACCCCAAAAAAUCAGAUGGCGAAUUUUAAGACAAGCUUGCGGAUGAAAGAUUCUUACCUCGUUAGCAUCUUCUGAGUUGAUUGGGAUUGAAUCUAGAAUUUCCGGUGGGGUCUGUGAUAUUGUGCCACAUGAUUUGAGAUAAUUUGCCUGAUUGUCAUGGAAUUCCAUAGAACACGUUUUAAUGAGAUAUGUUUUUUUUUUGCAUGAGACUUCAAAAUACAGCAGAAUUACAAAAGCUGAAAGAUAAUAGUGAUUAUGCAUAUUAACCAAUAUACCUUCGUUAAACAUUUAAAGAUAUGUUUUCCUAUAAAUCUCACAUGUAUAUAGACCAAGUAUUCUCAAAAAGAGAUAGGUACUCACAUGCAACAAACACGCCAAAUCUUAUUGUGUUUUCAUUCACAAUGCCUUGGGUUUUUUUUUUCUUUAGAAGUUGAAAUUGAAUUGACUGUGCACACAUGAACAUAUGUAGAGUAUCCCGUUAUUUGUACGGUGAGGAAAUCACCUCCAGUGGGAGGAUGCGCUACAUUCAGUCUUAACACGAACUAAAAAUAGAGCUUUGAUCAGUUUCUACAUGCAUGUCGACAAAAAAAAAUACUUAUAGGGAUGUGCUUCUACUAAUUUACACAGGUCAGUGGCAAUUUGAUUGUAGCAGAAAUUCCAGUUUCAUAAAAGAAAACAUAAACUCUGUCUUUCUUAUCGGCAAAUGUUGUCUUCUUGGUGCAGCUUAUACUAUGGUUAAAAUGAUGGUCAGCUAUGAGUCAAACAGGGGUCAUAGCUUCGUCCAGAUAGUCACCUGCCAGCUAAACCUAGAUGACACACUACACAUCGGUUUGAACCUUCUGCAUGAUAAUCGGAAGCAUGCUGUAAAAUCAUAAACCUGAAUUGAGUAUCUAAAAACGUAACGGACAACAACCGGUGGCAGUAAAGAGACUGUCUGAUUCAAUUUUCAGCACUUCUCGCCUCCAGUAACGAUUAAGCCCGAUUACUCAAAUACAAUUUUACACAGCUAGUAAGUAGUAACAAAUACAGGAGAAUACUGGUCGGAACCUCUCUCCGAAGCUCGUCGUCGACUCCGUGGUCAGUAGCCGCCUCGACAUCCAGCUUUCCAGUCGCUUCAUCAAGCUCUGAGGACAAUAUAGCACAAUACAACUAAGGAUUUCCUAAGGCCUUAAAAGAACAGCAAAAUGUGGCAUGGCGACGUACUCUUCUCGUCGUUGACAAAGGCGUCCCCGAUGCGGCUCUCCCUCACGAGCGGGUCCUGAAGAAAGCAAACAGGCAGACAGAUUCAAUAUCGCCACUACCGCCCGCACCAGAUCCAAAGCAGAAAUAGAAAUGGAGAACCGCGAGAUUUGAGAGGUCGCAGGUGGAUUUGCUCACGCGGAGAUCGCCCGACGGGUUGGAGCCGCCCCGGAAGCAGGAGAGGAAGCAGCCCAUGACCAAGGAAACCCAACAGUCGCGCCGCCGCCGCCGCGGGUUUGGGGUAGGUAGGGUUUAGGGAUCGGGAGCGGAGGAACGGAAAUGGAAAGAGGAAAGGAGGUGGCCACGGGCGAGGCCGCGAGGGUAGCCGGUGGCGGAAGCAGCGGGAUUUGAAUGGAGGGGGAGGGCGAAAUGGGGAAGCGAACGGGAAGAUCCUGCCUGGUCUGGGCUUUGUGGGCCUCCUCGACAGAUUAAAACGGACGUAACUAAUGGGCCGAAUCCGAGAAGCCGGUCCCCCGGUUUGGAUCAGCAUUCCGGGUUGCUUCUCACCAUCACGCUUGUAUCCGAAGCCGUACCGCAAGGACCAAAAAAAAAAAGUGGUCGUUGCCCCGCGUCCAAAGAAGAGCCCUCCCCAGUCCCCACCCACCCCCAGCCCCACACGGUGCCCCACCGCUCAUGUGACCCUCGCGCCUCUACGUUAGACUGGCUUCAACGGUGGACGCUCUCCUCCCCUUCCCUUGAUUUAGCGUCCGCAGUAUCACGCUACCGCGCACAUCGGUGACCGCUAAAGGUGCUACAAUGAUAGGGGAUGCUCCAGGCAUUCACCAGAUCUGGGGGACCGAGUCGACCCCCUAUCCUCGAGCAACGUGCGCAAUAUUGUGUUUGCAGUAGAAAAUAUAUUGAUAAGGGUGAUGUAUAAUUAGGUAAAACAAUAUUUUAUGGUAGUAGUGGGGUAUAGGGGGAGUAUUUAGGGGGAACCGCUGCGGGAGAUGAAAAAAUAGGGGGAAAGAGAACGCUGACGUGGCACGUGAGUGGGAUAUAGGGGGAGAAAUUUAAAGGAAACCGCUGAACACAGUCUUAGGGUUCUAUCAGCCCACUCUCGCCGCCGCACUCCACUCAGCUCUCGUCGACGCCUACCCAGACAUGGUUCGCCAAAGUUAGCUUGUUUGGACAACUUCGGCUUCAAAAAAUUUAGUGGAGUUGAUAGAAAUGUCAUUAGGUGUUCCAUAAAAUCCUUAAACUGAAUCUAUAAGCCUUUAAAAGACAUUUAGAUUAGUCAUUUUAUUUAUUAUUUAAAUUAAAAAUAUUUUUAAAACUAUUUAAAUUGAUAUUAUAAAUUACAGCUUCACACUGAACUUGAAACCUGGAGCCAUCCCAAGCACACCCUUCGUAUGGUAUGCAGUGUGCAGUCCGUGAACUUGCCUAAAUUGUUGUCUUGUUGUCAUCGUUACAUGCUUAGAUGGAAAAAUCUGGAAAACUCAUAGCGAAGUGGGACACUAGAGCAGCUAAGAUUCACAAUAAAAGUGGUUGUUGCAUGGAACCUAUUGGUUAACAUGGGUUAUGGGGUUAGGGAUAGUUUACGCAACACGUUACAUGGUAAUUAUGUGAAACUUUAGUUGAGUGUUUCUAAGGCAUGCAUAAGUUCAGGUAACUGUAGGGUUAAUCCAUGCCUUUCGGAUUUGUGUUAUAGUAAUUUGUCUGCUGUCCUGAAUGAUAUGCUUACAUUUUCUUUUGUUAUUAUUCUCAUCUUUUGCGUUUAUGUUUAGUACAUGACACUUUUCAUGAAUAUAAACAUUUUUUAGAGGAAGUUAAGAAAUGUGAUCUUAGGAUAUUAGGGAAAGCACAUGAACUAUUCUUUUUCAAUGAACUUAGGUACGUAGAACUCCUUUAUGUUAAGUAUUUGCCAAUGAACUUAGGGAACAAUAUUUGCCAGUGUAAUUCUUGUAUUGUGUUAAUCUAAGUCUCUUGGUAUCUUUGUCUUGAUAUCUUGGUUUAGAUUGAGAUGUUGAGUAGCAUGAAUCUCAUAUACAUCAUAUGACAACACUUAGUGUUAUUCUACAGAUGAAGUUAUGGGCUAAGGUACAUGAUGUGAAUUGCCCCAAAGAUCGAACACUGAGCUCCAUGGAAAUUAUUUCUUUAGUUUCUUUUCAUCUACAGGUAAUGUGUAUAAGUGAGUGCUUUUAGAUUCAUGUAUUGUGUCAUUACAAACUGUCCAGAAAAAUGAAUGUUAUAACUACUCUAGCCAUUGGUUAUACUUUCAAUACAAAAUGUCGUUUGCGAUCUGUACCAUCGUAUUUGCUGCUGAGAACUAGUGCCUAAAUUAAUGUCGAGGGGUUGUCUUACCACUCGUAAGUCGAGCUUUUUUAGAGCCUAAUUUGUAGUACCACCAUGUAUAAAUUACUUUUUGUCGUUAUAAUAGUAAUCCAGCGACAUGAUCCUAGUCACAACAUGCUCAUGCUCUACCAUUAAAGAAGUUCUGCAUAUUUAGUUAGUUUAAUAUUCUUGAUCUGUACCUUUGAUUUUUGGGGCCCUAGGUACAUAUUUGAAGCUGUAAUAACGAGUAUCAUGUGUUCAGAUCAUAUAGGACAAGAAGUUUUAUCUUGAAGUGCCAUAUUAGGUGUCAUAUUACCAACCAACAUGAAGUGCCAUAGAAAUUACGAGGAGAUAUAGGAAAUGAGUUUUAUCUUGAUAAAAUCUAGCGAGUAAGAAUACAAGGAGGACGUUCACAAGAGAAUCAACACCUACAUUUUUGCCACCAGAACAAGGCUACACAUUUGCCACCAACUACAUAUGACUCGGCCUUGUCCGAAACUAGCACCUACAUCUUGGCUUUCUCCUUGUCUGGAAUCACCACCUCCGAUCAUUUCAGCAAUGCCAUCAGCUUGUACAUCAUUUUCUUUGGAUCUAUCAGCACCUUGAUGAAAACUAGGUCAUCCCUUGCCUUCUGUAGCACGCACAUCGCCCAUGAACAGAUGAACAACAUAAGUCUUUUUCUUACCUUUCCCUGUUACUAUUGUUGUUGCAAAGCUAUGCUAAAAUUACAAAGUCUGUUCAGUCUAUUUGUAUGACAAAAACUAUACAUCUGAUUAAAUGGGUCCUUUCACUAUCGUCCACUUGCUAAAUUUGUAUUUUUUGCUUCUUUGCACAACUAUCAGCUAGUACUGCUAUGGAAGCAACAAACCAUGGUCGCGUCCCAAAUGUCGUCUCUUGCACCACCGGCACCGAAUCCCCGUGGACAACACCCACCUCGCUAUUGUUGUGCCAGCCGCGUCCCAAGCGUCGCCUCUCCAGUGUUCCAAGUGCCACGUCCUAAUCCAACGGUUGCAGCCCCGAUUCACAGGCAUUGUAUAAAUAUCGGUUAGGGGGCCGACAUAUCCAACACUCGUGUUUUCCCAAAACCAUAAAGACACAAUUUUCAAUUACGAUCAAUCUAAUGUCCAACUGAUCGGAAGAUUGUGAUAUAUGGCGAUGGACUCUAGUGCACCAAGCUGCCAACGCCACCGGUGAACGACACCGAGAAGACUUCGAGAGGCGGGGAUCCAACUUCCCACCAGCAAGGAGGAGGGAUGUAGGGAGGAGGCGACCAUUUCUCUCAGGACACUGCCGCCAUCACCACUGCUACGCUCAACGUUAAUCAAGAAGGUAUGCCUCUUAAACCUCUCACUAGGUGAGUGCCCAUGUGUUACGACGGAAGUAAAAAAAAUGUAUGAAACAUAGAAAUGGAACGACAAACAUCACUAUGAUUUGCAAAAUCUGUGUGGUAAACAUUAUCAAUAUCAAACAAAUUAUUUCUAAAGAGUCAAUUUAGAAUUUUGUAAUGACAGACAAAUAUGACGACAACCAUACACUAAUCUAAUAAUUUUUAGCGAUAUUGAUAAGUCGUUGUUGUAUGUUUGCAGGAUAACAUAUCGGCACGAAUUGUUCUCAUAACUUAACAGAUCAAUCACAAAGUUCCUUCGAAUAAUCUUUGCAUCCUACACACAAAGCCAUAAGAGAACAUGAAACGAAGCAUCAUUAUCAAUAUGGAUGAAUUGAUUCUGCUAUGGUACUAUAAAAAUAGCUUGCCAUAUAAUACGAACCAAGUUUUUUUUAUUUUAAAGUGCAAAAAUUAGCAACCUAAUGAAAAUGUUACUCAAGUAACAAUGGAACUGAAAACAGAUGGAGAGUGCAAAAGCUCAACUUUGUUGUAUCAUCAAACGUGUAGAAAUUCACGGUUUCAUUCAUUUAGGCAAUGACACCUUAAAGACAAUGAAUCCUAUAAAGAAAAUGAUGCUUUAUUUGAGUAUCUGACAUUAAAUAAAUGGUUGCAAUAUUAAAUUCGCAUCGACUUGUGAACUUAACGACGAAUAUUUCAAAUUAUUUAAAUUCUAAAUUAGUAAUUUAUAAAAUAAAAUUUGUCGUAGGGGCUAGAUCUUAAUUAAACCUAGAUAUUAUGGGAUAGAAUAAAAUUUGUACCUUGGAACAUCAGCAGGGCAGAGGAGCACGUCGAGGCUUCGACAACGACGUAGCAAGGACAAGCACGCCAGGGAGAAGAUCACUGCGCAAGCGAACUCAACGCGGAGCAGCGUACGAAGGAGAAGCGACACUCGGCGCAGCUUCGGACAUCAGGCGCACACGACUCAAGCAUGCAACAAUUAGUGAUGACGACGAACUUGGACGAUAGCAACUUUCAGCGUCGCGAACAGAGGGCGCACGUCUAGCUGACAGCAAGGAACAAGCGAUGCAAAAAGAGAAACAAGCAGGGGAUGUGGCUCGGAUGUUGUGGGGAAGAAGGUCAUGAUCCUGCAAUUUAUAGAGCAGUGAGAGACGAGAGCGUCGGGGAAAGAGAUCGUUGCUGCCAUUAAUGGCGUGCAAGAGAAGAAAUAAAUCUAUAAAUUGGGGAAAUAAAUAUGAGGAAGAUGAAAGGAAUUCAUGUCAAUCGGGGAAACAGAUAUGGGGAAGAUGAAAGGAAUUCACGUACAAGGGAAGGAGAUCGAAAAAAGGGAUUCACUUACAAGGGAAGGACCGAAGGAGAUCGGAAAAAAGGAAAACAAACCUGGCGGAUGCUACAUUCCCUACGGACGUUGGCUACAGGCAUUGACACACAUAUAAACAAACCAAGUGCUCGGGUAUCAUGACAUGGCCAUGGGCUUCCCUGUUCCCUGCCCUUCCCCGUCACUACUUGGCACACCAAAGAGAGGCAACCUCACGAUCGACCUACAUCUCUUUGUUUAGAUAACAACAGGCGAGUUGAGGCCCAACACAUAUAUAUUUGAUAUGCUCUCGUUAUUAUUACUUUUAGUUAAAAGUUACACGGGAAUGCUGCACGGAGAGCGUUUCACGCGAGUUCAUCCGCUUAAGCAGCGACGCGUGUGUGUGCGGUACAGUGGUCCCGUUUAGCUGUUGGUCGGCGUGGGUGUGGGCCCGCAGCCGUCUCCUCUCAGGUCGUCCCAUCUGUCUCCUCUCAGGUCGUCCCGUCCAAGGAGCGACGGCAACCAGGGACGACGCGUGGGUUGUGCUCGCCCGGCGCUUCGCCGUUAACCGUGUGGAUCUCUGGAGGGACGACGCGUGGGUUGUGCCCGCCCGGCGCUUCGCCUUUAGCCGCGUCGAUCUCGGGUACGGCAACGCGGAUCUCGGCUGCGACACGGCUCCCAACGGCAGCGCGCCGACGUCCGCUCGCGAGGACGGCGGUCGUGGCUGUCGAGAGAGCGGAUGGCUUCGUCCACAGCUGUCGGGCGUGCAUGGUGCCGCGACCUGGACGGCUCGGAUCGGAUCUGCGACGAACGGCGCGGGCGACCGGAACUGCGACAAAGUGACGCCGGCCAAGGAUGGCGCGUGGGUUGUGGCCGGCGCUUCGCCGUUAGUCAGGUCGGUGCUCUCCUCUUCUGCGCCUCUUCUGUGGAUCUCGACCUACGCCGUUGUGCUCCGCGGUGCCUGUGCCCAUAGCGUUAGGUGAGAGUUAGUCACCGGAUUCUAAAGUCCCACAAAUCCGAGCCCUGCCUUGCCUCGAUGCGUGCUCCGCAUCCGUCCCGUCGCCUCUGCUUUUCCAACAGCGUCGGCUCGCUGUGCUUCUGUCCUUUGCCAUAGCGCCCAUGCUGCUGCUUUUUAUUUUACUACAUAUAUGGAGCACCUUCGCUCGUGUCUUCCUCUUUCCCUCGGCCUGGUACCUGGCGGAAGCGCCUUUCUCCUCCUCGACUCUGUCGCCGUCGUCCGUUCCUUUCUUCGGAUCCUAAUUUCUCUUGUGUCGAUUCCUACUCAUCUCUUUGUUGGAUCCGUGUGCGUUGGCUCAUAGUGUCUGUUGUUCUUGUAGAUCUGCUACGUAGCAGAAGGGCAGACACACGCAGAUCCUCUGGCUAUCCUGUCGGUCUCUUCUGCAUCUGUUCCAGGUGAGCCAGUCCUUCCACCAUUCCUCUCUUUGUUAUCUUGAUUUGGUGUCGUGAUUCAUUUGGUCCUACACGUUUUAGCGCUACUUUCUAUUCUGUUUGCAUGCAUAGAUGGUUGUUUCCCAUUUCACUGAGAAGUCUAUCUGCAUUAGAAAAGGCAAAUGCCAGGUGUCAACGACAACAUAAAAAGAAUACUAACAUUGCAAAGUGGUUUCCAAGGUUGAGCUGUUCUUUUAAAUUUUAGACAAAUGAAAUGCUGCAAAAUAGGUAGUGUUCAAAACGUGAGCUCAUUACAGAAACGAAUAAAUCCCAUCCACUGGUCCAUUGUUAUCACCUUGUAGUCAUUUUGGUACUGAAACACAUUUCAAAUUUAGCAUGUCAAUUAAGCACCGAGCCUCAAUGAAGAAAGCAUGAACAAAACCACAGAAGAUCCUACUACCACUAAAGGCUGAACCUGGACACUAAUCUGCACCUGAACUAUAAUCCGGACACACAAGCUUAUUUGCCAACAACAUUCAGCACCCCAUGGCCAGCCACAAUUUCCCAGACAUCACUUUUCAUUACAUUCAACACCCUGAGGUUUGUUGUUGUUGGAUCACUUUCAACAUGGUUUGGCAAAGCUAAGUGCUUGUACAUGCCAUCUGAACACUUUACCUAAGCAUUAGCAAGAUACGUUAGAAAUUAGACUUACCUGAACAAAUACUGAAUGAGUAUAAAAGUUGUGUACUAUUAUAUUUGCGCCAAGAAGUGCCAUCAGUGAAUAAGCGCUUUCACCACUCAACUUGGGAAACAUCGCAUUCAUAUUGACUGGGGUAUGUGGGUGACUGAUUAAUAAACCAAGCACAAAACAAAGAAGUGUAAAUCCAGCUAUACAUGCAUUACAUAUCCCAGCCACCUUAUCUUAGAAUGAGCAUGAGUAGGAAACAAGAAUUACAUAAGGUCGAAUACUUUAGAAGGUAAUCAUUUUAUGAUGGGGUUAUUUUGGGAUUUAUAGAUUUACCAGUCGGGAGAGUGUGUAUGGUAGUAGAUUAACAACAACACUUGCAAAACAUAUGGCUGUGAUAAGAUUGUCGUGUUCAAACACAAGGUUGAACCCCACUGCCAUGCCUGCAAUCUGAAGUAGCCAAAUGUUAAGUGUUACACUUAUAAGGUGAGAACUACGACAUGCUCUGAUAAGGAGUAAUGAGUACUCCAAAAAUAAAUGCAUGCAUAGCAUGAUUACAUAAACAUCCCAGAAUGAAUCACAACAGAGCGAAAAAACCAUAAGUUUGUAGGCAUACCAUUGUCAAUUCAGAGGUCACUAAGGAUAGCCAUGCCUAGAGACCAAGAAUAACACAUAUCACCUUACUGUAUUCCAGGCAGCAGAUCUAUCAGUCAUGUAGAAGUACAGAAAGUAAGGUUGAUAUCUCCAAAAGACUAUGCAGGAAACAAUUUAAAAGGCUUUAGAAUGAAAAGAACACUAAAUUGAUAGAACUUAAACUCCAAACUAUAAAGUUUAUGGUUGGCAGUUCUCCUUGUUUCUUAUCUGCAUCUAAUACUAAAAGAAGGAAUUUUCAUUCAUGCCCCGGUCCGUCUGUCCCUCCACUCCCGAAGCAUAAUUCCUAACUGGUUUUACUGAGAGUAGCAGUACGUAAUGAAUUAGAGAUACGAAUCCUAAUUGGUUUACUGUCGUGAUGAAUUAGAAUAAGAAUCCAAAUUAGUUUACUGUCUCGUCCAUGACCCGAACUCACAACAUGUGAGUAACUAAGUUAAAAUAGGGACGUCCAACAAAGUAUAGAGUCUGAUUCCAAGAUGUAUUUACCUCAAAAUUGAGCCUCAAUGAAGAAAGCAUGAACAAAACCACAGAAGAAAAGUAUAAUCCAUUACCAUGAGGUAAUUAUUAAGCUUGUCAACCUGAGGGCGGAACUGUAAGCCUAAUACUAGAUUCAGCAACUCACAAGCAGCUGGUAUUUCUAUACAUUUCUUCUUAUCCUCUGAGGAAAGAUAAUCAUUGUGAAAAAUCACAGAAAUAGCAGUCAUCCUAAUCACUUUGCUUUGGAGCAUUAUAAUUUACAAUAGAAACCAACCAUACCUGUGAGGCAAUAACGAAAUGCAUAUAUGUAGAAAUCCUGGAAACUGGAUGGCCUUGUAACCUGGAAAUUCAAGCCAGUUCUCCGUUCAUCCUGAUAACAUAAAAACAUGUAUUAGUCAACACUUGAAAACAUAGAACAAUUUUUUAGUAUUAGAACUAAAUCAGGUCCUUCAUUGAACACUUGAAUAGCAGUAUGUAAUGCAUACCAGGGUAAAACAACCUUGCUUAUCACAGCAUGUGCCUCUUCUGUGGAUCUCGUCAUACGCCGCUGUGCUCCGCGGUGCCUUUGCCCAUAGCAUGUGCCUUUCCUGUGAGGGCCCUGAUUUACACCUGCAUUAACCAAAGAAAUAGGGUCUGUUUCUGAUGCACCUGCAUGUAUAUUAUCUCAUUCAUGGUAUUCUUGGAAAAAGAACAAGGGAAUGAAAAGAAAAACAGAGAUAAGAUAUGACACACUCAAAUAAUUCAAGUGGACUUUUCAGAUUAGGUGUGGUCGUGUGGCGCUUCCUUAGCUGUCAUUAUGUCGCACAUCAAUUUCUUGGAACUGUACUUUUUUAGGGAGAGACAGAGUUAUCUAGGCUAUCGCCAUGCCUAAGAUUAAGUUAGAAAAUAUGGCUCGACCAACAUAUUAGAAUACAAAUUAGCUUAUGUGGCUUUACAAAUAUGGCUUUCUCAACUGGGUCACCAAUUGUCCUGAACAAAUGAUGGCCCAUAGACCGAAUCCUACACUCCAAAAUCUUUGGUGGAGCAGAUUGACUAGCAUGCAAUACCUAGGAACUCAUAUUACAAGACAUUGGUACGUACUUCUGUUCUCAAGGUCUGUAGACACUUCAGAAUCAGCGUGCUUGCAGCUUGCUCAUCGGUUCUAUUGCCGCUCUUGCUGCCUUCUUUCUCGUAGAGACACAACUGCAUUACCUUCCCUUCCAUACGACCACGACCCUGUUAGUUCUGUAUCCAUGUUUUGUGUGCACUGCCAAUGAUGGAUGGGGGCACACGUGAGAGCAUGGCGUGCUGCCGUCAAAGCCCGAGUGCUCAGCGUUCUGCGAUUUUGUGAGGUAUGUACUGGUAUAGCUACCUUCUUUAGGUUUAAUAUGGCCCCUGGUUAUGCCAGUCUAGCUCUUUCCCUUUCGCCUACACAAACAUAGAACCGUUUCGUCUUUGAACAACUGCUGUCGAGCACAUUAGCUGGCUUCCCAGCGUUUCACGGGACCUCCUCCUCUUCCCGCCAACUGCCUACUUUGUCGCAGAGAUAUGCCUGUGGUAUCUCCCCUUCCAUACGAACAUGUCAGUUUGACAUUCCUGUUGUUGUGUGUGCUGCUGCUAAUGGAUGGGGGCACAUGUGAGAACAUGGCGUGUUGCCGUCGAAACCCCAUUGCCCAAUGUUCUGCAAUUUCCCAAAGUCUGCACUAAUAUUAUGCGUUCUUUGAGUUGAAUAUAGCCUUUGUUUAAGGCAAUCCGUCUCUUUCCAUUUCGCAUAGACAACCGAACGUUCAUUAUGUCUUUGAACAGCUACUAUCGAACACAUGAACACACUUGAUCAGCCAUCCGCUUCGGCGCCAACACAUGCGUCGCGUUAUGCAAUUUUGUUGCGUUCUCAGCAGGUUCGUCAAAAGCGGCCAGGUUAGUGACUGUCAAGCUUUUGAUGCUGCUUGUAUCUACUACAACUCUAUGCUCAUACUAAGAUGCGUGUGCACGCCGUUUGUAGGCAACAAGUCCUUACUCGACUUUCCUACGACGAUUGCCACUGCUAACAGACACCAUCGCAAACAGAGAAUGUGUCGUACGCCUGCGUCUGCUGAACGAGCAUGUGCCAACAAUGGUUUUCCCUACCACAUGUCUUUUCCAAAAUAAUCUUUUGGUUUCAUAUCUAGUGCACGUUAAAGAAAGUCUAUGAAAUUCUGCUCGCCUUCCUGCUUAUAGUUAGCACGGAUGGAGCCUCACCGCCUCUUGAGCGAUCAUACAUCGAGCUGCUUAAAGGUACUUGUGUACCACCUAGACUAUUUUCUCUACAUGUUCCUAAAGUAAUCCUUGCAGCGUUUACACAUAUUUGCCUGUAGAGACUUACAAAGAUCGCUCAUACUAUGGUGGCCCAUCGGACGAGUGCCCACAUUGUGGCGCCGUUUUCUGGUUUCAAGAACAGGUCAAACGUGUGUCUGCUGUUGCGCAGCGCAGGCUUGUGUACAACCUUUGUUGCAGAGGAGGCAAGAUUGUUUUGGAGCCUUACAAAUGUCCACCGGCGCCCUUAUGUGACCUGCUGCGAUUCGAUGGUGAUAGUCGUGCCAGAAGGUUCCUUAGGCAAAUUCGCUCAUACAAUUCCCUUUACGCGUUUACCUCACUAGGCGCCAUCGUUGAUAGAUCGAUAAAUAACAGUACUGCACCUUAUGCUUUCAAAAUCAAUGGUGUCAUACACCAUCGCAUUGGCUCGCUACAACCCAGUCAUGGAUUGCGACCACAGUUUGCACAACUUUACAUAUAUGACACUAAACACGAAGUGCAAAAUAGGCUGGGCAUGUUUGAGAAUGAGCCUGAUGUCCAUGAUCGCCCGGAUCCAGAGGUGACCCGUUUAUUACUUAACAUGCUAGAUGAGCAUAACAAGCUGGUCGCGGCAUUUCGCUUUGCUAAAAACGUUUAGAUGAAGAAGGCGACCAAAAUGUGACGUUGCGAUUGUUAGGCUGUAACACACGUCAUGACGCACAAUACAACUUACCGGCCAAUGGUGAGCUCGCUGCUGUAAUAGUGGGUGAUUGCUUACCUUCACAAUACAAGUACGAUGUCCUCGUGCACGCUAGAGAGGGUGGACUCAAACACGUUUCGUGCUUGUACCCGUCCUACAUGGCCCUGCAGUACCUGCUGCUUUUCCCUUACGGUGAUCAUGGAUAUCACCUUGGAAUAAAAUACACUGACGUGGGAGAAGGCGAUGCCACAUGCCGCAAGUAUGUUACGAUGCUUGAAUUUGUUAGACAUCGUUCACACUAUAGGCUCAACGAACCGAACCCAUUCACUUGCUAUGGUAGGCUGAGCAACCAGCUAGUUGUCGAUGCGUAUUCUACGAUCGAGGCAUCUCGAUUGCAAUUCAUAGCGGACCACCAAAAAAAUUGCGUUGUGAAUCCGUACAGGGGAUAACCGAUGCCAUUGGCAGGGGUCUCACCAGUGCAGAUUCAGUUGGUGGAAGAGUGAUCGUGCCUGCAUCUUUUACGGGUGGCCGAAGGUACCAUGUAAUGAACUACCAAGACGCGAUGGCCAUCUGCAGAGUGUACGGCCCACCAGAUCUCUUCGUCACCUUCACAUGCAACCCUAAAUGGAAGGAGAUAGUCGAUGUGCUUCACUUCGAGCCUGGUCAGCAGGCAUGCGAUCGUUCCGAUAUCGUUGUAAGGGCCUUCCAUAUGAAGGUCGAUGAAUUCAUAGCAGACAUUAGAGAAAAUAAAAUUUUUGGUCCUAUCCGUGCUGGUGAGCUUCAUCUUAACUUGACACAUUGAGUGGUCCCUUAAUAUUGCUUUGCAUGCUCUCAUCUGUAGCCUUUCCUAUGCAGUGAUUUAUACCGUAGAAUUCCAAAAAAGGGGCCUACCACACAUACACUGUCUUCUAUGGUUGCUUGGUGGUCGUUCAAAGACAGAGGCCUGUGCCAUUGACGCUUUCAUAUGUGCUGAGAUACCUAACGUUGCCAUAGACCCCUUGGGUUAUGCUCUCGUUGAUGAAUUCAUGAUACAUGGUCCAUGCUGUGAUUACAACAGGCGGUGUCCAUGCAUGAAAAACGACAGAUGCUCUAAGAAAUUCCCUAAGACGUACCAAGACGAGACUGUCAUUGACGCUUUUGGCUAUACCCUUUAUAGAAGACGAAACAGAUGCCGGUUCGUAGUAAAAGGUGGAGUAAAAUUAGACAAUAGGAGCGUAGUGCCAUACAAUAUGCAAUUGCUCAAAAAUACAAUGCCCAUAUUAAUGUCGAGUGGUGCAACAAAACACACAUGAUCAAGUACUUGUUUAAAUAUGUUACCAAGGGAAGUGAUCGAGCCAAGAUAUAUUUUGAGUUGACUGCAAACACAACUAAUGCAUCUCCAGGCCCUCAAAUAGCCCUGCCAAAUGAGGUUCGCGAAUACAUAGAUGCCAGAUACUUAUCAACAUGUGAAGCUCUAUGGCGAAUCUUCGAAUUUGACAUUCACUUUAGAGUACCUUCUGUGGAACGUCUGGCGGUGCACUUACCUGAAAAAAAGUCGUGCAGUACGAGCCUGGGACAGACCUACAAGCAUUGCUUUUGAGCCGUGCAGCAAAGAAGACAAUGUUAACUGAAUGGUUUGAAACAAACAUGAAACAUAGUGAUGCACGUCACCUGACUUAUUGUGAUUUCCCCAAAGAGUGGUCGUGGGACGUUUCUAUUAGGUGUUGGUGUAGAAGGAGGUUGUCGUCUGCCAAGAUUGGUCGCAUGUACUACGUGCACCAAACAGCUGGGGAGCUAUACUAUCUACGCAUGCUCUUGAUGUUUGUUUUAGGUGCGACGAGCUUCGUUGAUAUAAGGACCUUCCAAAAUACUGUGUACGAAACAUUCAGAGAGGCGUGCGAAGCACGUGGUUUGCUCGAAGGUGACAACGAGUGGAACCUUCUAUUUGAUGAGGCAAUAGUCUCUGCCUCGGCGUUUCAGCUUCGACAAAUGUUCGUUACCAUUGUCGUUCAUUGUCCUGUUUGCAAUGUCCGUGCUUUGUUUGACAAAUAUUGGAUCUACUUCACCGAUGACAUACACUGUGGUCUUAGAGAAGCCCUUAGCAACCUGCACUACACAGCUCCACAUGAACAACUCCUUACGUUGCUUUUGAGGAAGCUAGCAGACACGUUCGCUAACAGUGGUGCCAACAUAGCUGAUUAUGACCUUCCAAUCUUAUCAUCAUGUGUGUGACGUAGUGUUUGGCAACUGGCUGAUAAACGACGAACUGAGUCCUGAACCAUUGCUAUUGCGUGACCAUGCUGUCGCUGCUGUCUGCAGUUGAAUGCUGACCAACGGCUCAUUUUCGAAAAGCUGACUGAAUCUGCGCUCUCCUGCUCAUCGGGCAUAUUUUUCGUAUGUGGACAUGGUGGGACGGGUAAAACUUUCUUGUGGAACGCUAUACUCAUGCAUUUGAGGUCCCAACAAAAAAUUGUGUUGUUUGUAGCGUCCUCCGGCGUGGCUUCACUACUAUUACCAAAAGGCCAUACUGCUCAUUCACGUUUCAAAAUACCCUUCGAUCUAGAUGAGGGUGGUGUUUGUGGUGUCAAGAGAGGUACCAUGUUGUCUGAACUUAUACAGCAGACUUCUCUUGUCAUAUGGGACGAGGCGCCGAUGACCCAUAGACAUUGCUUUGAGGCCCUAGACAGGACUAUGUGUGAUAUUCUUUCGGAACAUAGAGCGGAAAAUGCGAACAUCCCAUUUGGUGGCAAACCUGUUGUGCUUGGAGGAGACUUUCGCCAGAUUUUACCCGUGGUGCGCAAAGGUUCACGAUCUGCAAUAGUGAACGCAUCAAUUGCCAGCUCACCGUCGUGGCAACACGCUACUGUUUUGAAACUACGAACAAAUAUGAGGCUCUCCAACCCAUCUUUACAUGGUAAGGAACGUGUGGACUUGGAACAGUUUAGCAAAUGGGUCUUAGAUAUCGGCGAUGGUGCUCUGCCAGCGAUGACAAGAGGAGACGAGUCCGAACCUACAUGGAUUACGAUUCCUGAAGAUUUGUUGAUACAUACGGAUGGUGAUGAUGCUGCGGCACUCAUAUCCGAGGUCUACCCAGAUUUGUUAGAGAAAUAUAUGGACCCUACAUAAUUAGCUACACGCGCCAUUGUAUGUCCUAAUAACCUUACAAUCGAUAAAAUAAACGACUACAUUGUCUCAAUGCUCCCUGGACAUGGUGUCCAAUGCCUUAGCUGCGACACGAUCUCAAAGGCGUCUGAACGCAUACCUGAUUUUGACAUGCUAUAUCCUACUGAAUUCCUAAACUCUAUUAAUGCAGCAAAUUUCCCUUGCCACAAACUCGUGCUAAAAAGAGGCAUCACAGUCAUGUUGUUAUGUAACUUGAACCAGACCGCAGGGCUUUGUAAUGGAACAUGGAUGCUUGUAACUGAGGCCGGACAUCGUGUUCUUAAAUGCGUAGUACUAACGCCCUUCGGAGUCGACGAAGAGGUUUUCAUACCGAGGAUUGCGCUUAACACUACCGAUGUCAAAUGGCCCUUCACAUUGCAAAGAAGACAAUUUCCGAUACGAAUAUGCUAUGCCAUGACGAUUAAUAAGAGCUAGGGUCAGACCCUCUCAACGGUUGGCCUCUACCUUGACAGGCCUGUGUUUAUGCAUGGUCAGCUUUACGUCGUUGUUUCAAGGGUUACAUCUAGAAGUGGUCUUAGAAUUUUGAUUGAAAAUCCUGAUGGUUCCUGCGGAUCACAGACUCGAAACGUUGUUUACCGAGAAGUGUUGUGGGCCGUAGAUGCGGACCCCCUGCAGACUUCUUAUUGCAUAAUCGACUCAGACCUGUACAUAACCAAUGUGUAAAAUAAAAAUGUGUAUACCGGCAACGCGUUUAGUUAUCGUACCUAUUCUGUUCUAUGACUGCUUCCCCACCAAAAGAAUUUUUGGUCUCCUAUAUUGUUUGUCUAGCGGCCUACCGGCAAGCGAGCACUAUAUGUCGCAAGUUUACAAAGGGGAACCGCUAUGUCUGCAUGCUCCAAUAGAUCUUGUCAUACAACAUCCGUGGUAGAUGCCUACUCAAUGAUAUUGACCUAACUUUACCUAGCAUGUUUCUCCUAUCCUAAAUAUUUUUUUGUAAGCAUACUGCCCUUGUCAGCAUCGAGUGUAGUGUUUAUUGGUUGCUUAUUUCGCUGGAAAUGACUGACCUCUGCUUCAUUACUGCAGAUGGGGGACAUACUCAUUCCUAGCCUUAUGGUUGGAGACUGCUCUCGCACCUUGUGUUUGCGUGUCUCUAGGCUUUGGGAAUUCCUUGAUCCUCAGGAUGACAAUAGGCUCCUGCAUAUUGAUCUUGUUUUGCUUGAUGAAGAGGUAGAUCCAUCUUUAUACUGGUCUGAUACUUGUGCAUGCAUAGUAACCAUCAGCUCAGCCAACAUGCUAUACAAUGUCCUAUGCAGUUCUUCUAUACAGUGUUCUAUGCAAUUCUUGCGUGUUGCUUAAAAUGUUACCUCCUUUUGUUAGGGAAACAACAUACAUGCCCAUGUCUAUCCUCCGUUGUGCCAACAGCUCAGUGUGCUGCUCGAUGAGGGAGGGAUGUACAACUUGAAGUAUUUCUUAGUCAGGAAAGCUAACAGAUUCUACAAAUCGAUAGAAAACUGCAACAUGAUCAGCUUUACAAAGUGGACUAUGGUUGAGGUAGUCCUCCAGAUCCCCCCUGCUUUCCCGGUUUGCACAUAUAACCUCACUCCCAUAGACCAGCUCCAACCGCGUGUGGACUACAAGGAAUAUUUCACUGGUAACCUUCUACGCAUAGUGGUUUACAUGUUAUAGGUAACAUGAACACAGUACUAAUGCCCUCGCCAUCUCUAUGGUAUAUGUGCUCGGUGUUGUCAGCGUGAUCUCCCGUGUUUCAUCACUACGCACAAGGGGACGACAGUCUGAGGUUAUGAAGCGAACAGUCACUAUAAGCAAUGCAAGGUACCAUGUGCAUUCCUAUCCUACUACACAUUCCUUUUGGGUGCCACAUACAUAUAUGUAGUCUGAUUUUGUUUGCAACAACAUAGCAAGGAACCCAUGAACAACCUCAACCUAGACCACAGAUUACCACUUAUCAUUCUCCACGCUAGCAAAGUUGUCCAUACGCUCAAGUGAAUAGAUGAAGGGUAAAUGCACCGAGACAGUAAGAACGCCAUUACAUCACGUGGGGUCAAUUUGCGUCCAAAAACUCAGCAGACACUAUGUCCACAGAUCAUGCAGGGGAUAUGCUACAAACAAGUUGCCCAUAGCGGGAAAUAAAAAAUGACAUCUUCCUUGCAGAGGAAAACUGGUUCUAAACUACCUAUGUCUUCAGUUGACCAUGCUUCAUUGCAAUGUACCUUAGAAGAGAUCAUUUUUCCUGCUCAGUCAAUCCUCCAUGUCUAAUAUUAUCCAUUGCCCGGACAAAGUUUCCUUUACUACAUGGGCAUACCAUGCAUGUUGUGCUCAUAUAGAAGAUUACUAAACAGCUUCAGCUACCAUCGACCAUUUAAACAAACAGCUAUUUUGAAGCUCUAGACGCACAAUUUACGACUUUUAUUUCUUUGCGAUGUCCACACCUAACACGAUACAAUGACCAAUUUAUUUGUAAACUCGUUGUUCUUCACUCCGACAGGGAUAUCGGGCCAACCGUUGAUGUUGUGCUUUGGGGCGAGCGGGCCACAACUUUCCUAGCUGAACAGGUCCACAGGGACAGUGGAUCCUCACCACAGAUCAUAAUAUUUGUUGGCACUCUCGUGAGGAGCUACGCUGGUAAGUCUACUACAUCCCUUUGGUUGCACUGCUAAUACGCAUGAGCAUCUGAAAGGUUCCAUUGUAUUUUAGAUAAUGUGUCUUUAUCGGGAGGAUCAUCAUGCAAGUGGUACAUAGAUGCACCGGUCCCGGAAGUAAACGCUCUCAGAACUAGGUAACUUACUCAUUCUGGGUUUUCAGACAUACAAUUUUCAGUCGUCUUUCUCACCAAAUCUGAUUACUGUCAUUCGUAAACUGGCAUGGCUAAACAGUGCUGAAACCAACCACCACCCUGUCAUUUGGGAUCAGGGCAAAGCAGCUAAUGAGAGUACAGUAAUCGCAGUUCCUGAACAUAAGAAGCUCAAGGAUAUUAAGUACCUCCAUCCUUUUGAAAAUAAGGUGAGGUCCCUCUACUCGGCUAAACCUUGCAGUCCUAAGGUUUAUCAUAGGUUGAUACUGUUCACUUCAAUUACAUUGUUUAUAGAAGAAGGAAUGGCUUGUCAUCGUAAAGGUGCUCAAGAUUGAUAGCUCAUGGUGGUACAACGCAUGCAAAAAAUGCCUUAGGACAACCAAACCGCACGGUGACACAUACAAGUGCACCAAUAAUUCCUGUGACGCGCCUACCCCAAGGUCAGCUCUUAUACGUCUCUCCCGUUUUUGUUAAGGUCCUGCUAGAUCGCCUGGACGCCUAAGCGAUGCCUUAAAAAACACCGUUACCUAUCUCUCUCCUUUUUGUUUCCUGCACACCAAACCUUUUUCACUCCUUAAAAAUUCACAUGCCCAGACCUAUAAGGUCACUGUUUUGGGCGGAGGGAGUAACAAGCAUUAGAUAAAGAAAUACAAAAACACAGAAAUGAGACACUAAAUUACCUCAAAACGGUUCCAAAAAUAUAAAAUCAGGUGAUGCAUGAAUGCUGACGUAGCAGAGAAAGCCAAAUAUGAGAAGCCUGGUAAAGCAUAAGUCAUAAAGCACCAGAAAUGUGUCAUUAGUUAAUCAAUAGUUCAGUCAGAAAAAAGAUGUUUGAUACACGUACGAUAUAAGUAUUGAUAGUGCUGAUGUUCUCAGCUAACCACAUAUUAAAAUUGCAAUGCUGUAAUACAAUAAAGGGUCGUUGUUCAGUUUUUGUCCAUGGUAUAUUUUUUCUAACAGGCUCUCUAUGCAUGAUACAAGAUACUGAAAGAAAUAUUAGGUUCUUACAGGAUUUGGCAAGUAGGUUCCUGUGCCUUAGAGUUUUUAGGUUCUUACAGGAUACUGAAAGAAACAGUUUUUGCCUCACAUAAGUAGAUAUGGAAAACCAAAAAAUACAGCAACAAGAAGCGUGGAAAGAACUGCAUCGAUAUGGAUGUCCGCACACUGAAAAGCAAAGAUAUCAGGAUAAGUAUUUAAGAAUGAUUAGCUUGAAAAUUUUGUCCUGCACAAGAUCAUUUCUGAUAGAUGCAUUCAUGCUACCCGACUUAUACUAUUUCGAUGAGACUAAGUGGUUUAAUUUUAGCUUUCUCUACCCACAUAUCUUUUAUUGUAGUUGCUCUCUCAGCAGUUUGCUUGAGCAAAAGGCCUAGAUAUUCCCUUAGGGAAAAUUUGUUGUGGGACAUCACGACUUCGUAUUAUUAGCUCUAGCCUAUAGAACACAGCAAAAGUCACUGUUUGGGGGGGAGGCGCUGUCAAAUUGUAGCUGUUAGCUGGGUGCCAGGGGCCCCAUUAAAAUACUCUUUACGCCCGAAAGAGGAGAGUUUUUUUAUUUUGGUGUCCCUGCAUCACAAAUGAACCCGAGCCGACCCAAACCAGACCCAACAGAAAUUUGUAUGAAACAGUGAAUUCUCUAAAGGGGCGUUCCAAACUAAACACACUGAGCAUGAUAGACACAGACCAACUUUACCCCUUUCAGUUGCAUAUUGCAAUUUACAAGUAAAUAAUAAAAAAGAUGAAAAAAUCACCACAAGAGUUGCUAUGAUGGAGAUUGUCCAGUAUGUGGCUUGUGCAGUUAGAGUAUCUUAGCUUUAGUGAAGUUUAGUGCUGGGAACAAGUCUUUUCUGCUGCCACUGACCCGAGAGUGGCUGUUGCUCUUGCUCAACCUACUUUGUUUAUUGUGACUUGACUUUGUGUCAACCUCUUGACUUUUGCUUAUUCCUAUAACAAAUUUCUUGUACUUAACACCCCUUAGCAUAUCCUGGUCCUCUUGGGUGAGAAUCGGUGGCAAAUUGUUUGUUUUGCCCGACAACAGUGUGAUUGCAGCACCAUUUUGUGUUGGUGAGCUGACUGGAGAUUGAUGGGAGACCUUACACCUCCACUAGUGUUUCCUGAUUUGCUGAUUAGAUGAUGAAGCCACACGACCAGCUCCAGGAUAAGUGCUUCGGUCUUCUCCUUGUCAGCAAGAUACAACGUCUCCAUUCGGGACAUAUCCAUCUGCCCUGAUAUCUUGCAGUUUAAUUCAGAUCUGUAUUAGAAAAGAGAUUGUUACCGACACAUCAUAGUUUCAUCAAUGUCCAUUUACAUCACUGAGAAACUUCAGUUUCAUCAAUUUCUGUGUAGAAUGGCCUAUGGCAGUUUUUGCAAGCGUGCUUGUUCUGGUGAUAUAGCUAAAAGAAAAGCCGUGAAAGCAAACUAUGGCAACUAAGGGAGACCUUUAGUGUCUAUGCCAAAAUUUAGAACUAAAUUGAACUAAGGGUUUCACCUAGCAUCGUUGAAGGUCGGUUAAGUUGAGCUGUAGCUCAACUAGACUCACAAAAGGCUCGAGCUUAAGUGCUUAACAUAUGGUAUCUGAAAUGUUAACUGGAUAGUAGCAAGCAGUACUUAGAAACUUGCAUAGGAGUGAGAAGAUGCUAAUCAUAUUUGCCUUUUUAAAGCUUUACUCGACAAUAUACACAUAGGAUUGAGUAAAAAAACAUAGUGAACUAAAGAAGCGCACCAGCCAAACUUGAGGUCUGAUAACAGACCUCAUGAGGAGACAAUUUAGAUACAUGGCCUUCUUUACCCCUUCAGUAAUAUUUGAAACAAAAGGGAGAAAACCUAAUAAUAAGUUGGCUGCAAAUCCUAGACACGUGGCAAAAGAUCAACAAUAGAUCAAAUAAUCCUCUGUUUGAGAUUUUCGAACUUUGCAAACAGGUCAUCGCUGCUUUCCUGCAUACAUAGAAAUAUUGAAAAAGGAAGUCGAUCUUCAGGUCACCGGGAACACGGCAGAAACAUGUGCAAUCGAGCCAGGUUUUAUAUGGUGAUUCAGAUUUGAGGAUUCAGAUGUACCUUGGAAAGGAGAUAUCGUACAAUGAAACAAAUUGUGAAACCACAUCCUACUAAAUCCAGCAAUUUUGGGUCUGUUAUAAGUCAACCAAGCAGGUUAAUGAGCAUUUGGUAUUAGAACUAAGUGUAGAUUUCCUGAAGGAAAUUGUAACUUCUGUACUAGGGGGACUGAAUCAACUGCACGAACAACAAAAGAUAAGAUCCAUAAAGCAACAACAAAAGAUAGGUUGAAGUCAUUAUAUAUAUAUAUAUAUAUAUAUUAUCUAUAGACCUUCAGACUGUUAUGCAUUUCUACUUGAUCAAAAUUUAUGCUUGUCUUGAAAUAACAUGUAGGAAGGUAGCACUUGGAGAGAUUUAAUUAAAUCCAGAGUUUAAUUUGAUAUAAUUGUCAGUGGAGGAUUUUGAGAAUAGAAUUCAAGUAAACUCUACUGCUCCUGACUGCUGCCACCUGCCAGUCAUUUCUUUCCUUCUGCUUCCCAGUUGUUUCUUGGAUGUUCAAUGUUCUGCUUACAAGUUUGGUUUCACUAUGCUUUUGGUGUCUGAUACCUUAACGUCUGCACUAUAGGGCGCGCAACGCGCGCUUCCUGAUCAACAAUCAAACCACUCUGUGCAGGUACAAGAUAUCCCUCACCGCUGAAGACGAUACUGACACCGCCAAAUUUAUCUUCUUUGGACGAAUGGCGCAGCGCCUCAUUAAAAAAAUGUGGACGCCCUCAUCUCGACUAAUCCACCCGGUUUCAUUCCAAGAGAAAUUACAAAUCUACUGGAAAAGUCUUUCGAGUGGAAUGUUAGCUUCACCGAAAGCACAAUUAUUUAUAUCAGUGUUUCCUUCCAAGUGAAUGCUAUUGUCGGCGUUUCGAGACCGGGGGGGUCCCUAAGCCGACGAGUGAAUGUCGCUGCGUGCCCCAGCCCAGAUGGGUCGAGCGCGUGGGCGAGCGCGAAGGGGGGAAGCGAGGUGGCCGGAGAUGGGCGUGAGAGAGGUGGAAAUCCCGCGGCCUUCGUGUUCGUCCCGCGCCCAGGUCGGGUGCGCUUGCAGUAGGGGGUUACAAGUGUCCACGCGGGUGAGGGAAGCGAGCGGCCCCAAGAGAGCGCCUGUCCCGUCCUCGUCCCCGCGCGGCCAACCCUCUCUAAGAGGGUCCUGGUCCUUCCUUUUAUAGUCGUAAGGAGUGGAUCCAGGUGCACAACGGGGGUGUAGCAGAGUGCUACGUGUCUAGCGGGGGAGAGCUAGUGCCCUAAGUACAUGCCGAUGUGGCAGCCGGAGAGAUCUUGGCACCCAGAUGGUGUGAUGUCGUGGCCGUCGGAGGAGCAACGGAGCCUGGCGGAGGGACAGCUGUCGGAGCGGUUGAGUCCUUGCUGACGUCCUCCUGCUUCCGUAAGAGAGCUGAGAGCCGCCGUCGUCACAGAGCUUGCGGGGCGCCAUCAUUGCCUAUCUGGCGGAGCUAGCCAGAUGGGACACCGGUCUUGUUCUCUGCGGCCCGAGUCGGCUCGGGGUAGGGUGAUGAUGGCGCUUCCUGUUGACGUGGCUGGCCUGCGCCCUAGGUUGGGCGACGUGGAGGCUCCUCCGAAGCCGAGGUCGAGUCUGUCUUCUGUGGCCGAGGCCGAGUUCGAGCCCCUGGGUCGGGCGAGGCGGAGGUCGUUCGAAAGAGGCCGGGGCGGAGUCCGAGCCCUGGGGUCAGGCGAAGCAGAGUUCGUCGUCUUCCGGGACUUAGCUCGAGUCCGAGCCCUGGGGUCGGGCGGAGCGGAGUUCGCCGUCUUCCGGGACUUAGCCCGAGUGCGAGCCCUAGGGUCGGGCGGAGCGGAGUUCGCCGUCUUCCGGGACUUAGCCCGAGUCCGAGCCCUGGGGUCGGGCGGAGCGGAGUUCGCCGUCUUCCGGGACUUAGCCCGAGUCCGAGCCCUGGGGUCGGGCGGAGCGGAGUUCGCCGUCUUCCGGGACUUAGCCCGAGUCCGAGCCCUGGGGUCGGGCGGAGCGGAGUUCGCCGUCUUCCGGGACUUAGCCCGAGUCCGAGCCCUGGGGUCGAGCGGAGCGGAGCUUCCUAUGGUGCCUUUGGCAGGGCCUGACUGCCCGUCAGUCUCACUCUGUCAAGUGGCACUGCAGUCGGAGUGGCGCAGGCGGCGCUGUCCUUUUGUCAGGCCGGUCAGUGGAGCGGCGAAGUGACGGCGGUCACUUCGGCUCUGUCGGGGGGCGUGUGUCAGGACAAAGGUGUCAGGCCACCUUUGCGUUAAAUGCUCCUGCGAUUCGGUCGGUCGGUGCGGCGAUUUAGUCAGGGUUGCUUCUUAGCGAAGGCAGGGCCUCGGGCGAGCUGGAGAUGUGUCCGCCGUUGGAGGGGGGCCUCGGGCGAGACGGAGUUCCUCCGGGGUCGGCUGCCCUUGUCCGAGGCUAGGCUCGGGCGAGGCAUGAUCGAGUCGCUCGAACGGACUGAUCCCUGACUUAAUCGCACCCAUCAGGCCUUUGCAGCUUUAUGCUGAUGGGGGUUACCAGCUGAGAAUUAGGCGUCUUGAGGGUACCCCUAAUUAUGGUCCCCGACAGUAGCCCCCGAGCCUCGAAGGGAGUGUUAGCACUCGCUUGGAGGCUUCCGUCGCACUUUUUUGCAAGGGGACCAGCCUUUCUCGGUUGCAUUUUGUUCCGGUGGGUGCGCGCGAGCGCACCCGCCGGGUGUAGCCCCCGAGGCCUCGGAGGAGUGGUUUCACUCCUCCGAGGUCCUAAUGCCUUGCGUAAUGCUUCGGCUGGCCUGGUUGUUCCCUCAUGCGAACUGGCCGUAGCCCGGGUGUACGGUCGGGGCCCAAGUUCUCGGGCUAGUAUGUUGACGCUGUCAACGGUUCGGCCAGAGCCGGGUUUGCGAGAGCAGCCCCCGAGCCUCCGCACAGGGCGAGAGGACGAUCAGGGACAGACUCGGCUUUUUACAUACGCCCCUGCGUCGCCUUUCCGCAAGGAGGAGGGGGGGGAAAGCGCCAUGUUACCCUCGAUGGGCGCCGAACAUGGUGUCUCCGGUGAGCUGCAAGCGGGUAAUCCGAGUGGACGUCCGUGCCCCGUUCGUUAGGGGUCGGCUAGGGGCCCAGAGGCACGCCCAAAAGUACCUGCGGGUGAUCUGCCGGACCCGGUCCCCUGGCGACGGGGUCCGAGGGCUCGAUGCCUCCCUCUGAUGGGAUUCCGUUACAAGAUCGCUCCCGCUGGUCUCGGAAAUGUCCUAGGGUACCUCGGGAGCGCAGCCCGAGCCUUGGUUAUGUAUCGGACGUACCCCUGGUCAUCCCUCGCUCGGCGUCUGAGGCGGCUGUGAACCCUUCGGGGGCCAGCCUUCGAACCCCUGAUCAGUAAUGGGCGCGGAGCCCGAGUAGCCUGAGGCGGCCGUGGAACCCUUCGGGGGGCCGGCCUUCGAACCUCUGACCAGUAGUGGGUGUAGGGCCCACGCGAUCUGAGGCGGCUGUUGAACCCCUCGGAGGGCCAGCCUUCGAACCUCUGAUCAGUAGGGGGGCUCGGAGCCCGGUUCCUUCACGGGGAAGGAUCCUUUUGGGGGUAUCCCCCUUUCCCGGUCCCUGUUGCAAGAGAUAGAGAAAGAGGAAAAAAGGAAAAGGAUACGAAAUCGAACGACGUGGUGUACCUUUUUUGGCGCGGUUAUCACGACAAAGGCGAAGCGUCGCCCGCUUCUCCUGCCAGAAGCGCCGCCUGUCCCGCCGUGGAGUUAAUGCGACGGGGCGAGUGGUUGGCAGGGCGAUCGUCGCGCGUGCGCGAGCCGUUCGAGGAACGGAUCACGGGCGCGUCGUCUUCACGCCGUGAGAGGGGGUUCUCUUGCUGCCCCCGGAUGGGACGUGAGCUUGGCUGACGACGUGACCGCUGCUCCCGCUCGCCUGCCACCGUCAUUACUGCCGGCCCACUUUCGGCCGCAUUGACCGUCGCGCUAGGCUAGCGCUGCUGGGCCGUGCGCUGGGUCGCCUCGAGUCGCGGUAUUGGUUCCGCAACCGAAGAGGCGCGGUGAUGGCGCAAGUGGCGGUGCAGUUGCUUGCAUGCAGCAUCCGGCGCGCCGGUUGCGUGACGCGUGGGCCUGGGCCUCCAGGCCGGGCGCGUUGGGAGUCGGAGAAGCGCGUCCACUUGGUGCGGUUGCAUGCCGCCUGCAUGGCUGCCCGCCUCUCUCGCCCGUUGGUCUGGGCCAAAGUGGAGGGUCACUUGUAACCGCUGGGCGGUUGAGUGCACCACGCGCGGCGGUUUGGCUUCUUCUGCUCCGAGCCGGCCAUCGUGAUAGGGGAGGCGGCUGACGCCGACGUGGUCCCGAGCCCGCCUGUCGUGCCGGCCAUGCUGGCGCCUGCCGCUACCGAAGUCGCCGCUGUCCCAGCCGGAGAGCGGCCGGUUGCUGUCGGCGUCGAGACGGCUGAUGCGUCGGCGCCCAGUGCCUCGGAAGAGGUGGGCGUGGAGGCACGACCCGUCCAGCCGGGCGGCAGCCUCAUCGCUGUGCGGCGGAGCCCCGGGGCCCGACGCCAGUUGCUCCGGUUUCGGACCCGCGAGGCCUCGGACCCUGUCUUCAUUCUCGACGAUGAACAGGAGGACCAGUCCUGGGAUGAGCUCCGCGAGUGUGCUGAAGCAACGGUGGGGUCGCUCCGGUCAUCGCUGGAGGUUUUCUGCAGGGACGUCCCCAAAAUCCUCCAGGUAACGGUUUCAGGCAUACCUUUUCUUUUCUGUGAACGAGGCGUUCUUCGUGAUGCCUCGUUUCCUUCCCCAGGAUCUGACGGAUCGGAGCGCCGCCAAGUCGUCGUUCAUCCGCCGCGAGGUCGAUGUCUGGGGCUCGCUGCGAUCCCUGAGGACCUCGCUCGCCGGGGCUACUGCGUGCCUCUCUCAGCAGGGUGCCAAGGUAGCGGACCUCCAGUUGCUCUGCACUGACCUGAGAGCCGAGGCGGCAGCAGCGCGCGCGGAGGCGGCAGCGGCGCGCGCAGAGGCGCAACAGCAGCGGUCGGAGUUCGUCCAGGUCGUCGAGGAGCGGGACCAAUCUCGGGACCGGGCUACCGAAGCCGAAAGCCGGGCUGAAGCCCUCGCAGCUGACUUAGCCGCAGCCCAGGUCGCUGCCUCGGAGCAGCGUGCCCAAGCCGGAGGUACGCCUUGGCCGUCCCUGGUUCUUGUUCUUGUCUGUUUCCUCUGCUUGUGUUUGAGUUCUUUCUUCUGGCUGUUCGCAGAGCUCGAGCCCGCCCUUGACGAGUCCGCCAAGGCGCUUGCCGAGGCGCUUGCCGGAGCUGCCGAGCAGAGGGAGGCCGACCUCGCGGCCAUGUCCGAGGCCGUCUCGGACGUUUAUCGGAUCCUUGGCUCCGGCGACGUCCCUUCAGGAAGCUCCCCUCAAAGCCGCCUUCAAGCCUUGGGUGAUCACGCGCGCGGCAGAGUCCGCGAGGCGCUACACCACGGCGUCAGGUGGGCCUUUGCCGUGCUCGCUUCCCACUACGUUGUGGACCUGGAGCGGGUUAGUGAGGGGUAUUGUCUUCCUGACGAAGACGAAGCUGCCCUGGCAGAAGUUCAGCGGCUCGACGCGGUCGCCGCGGGUCCGAGCGCAGUGCUGGCGACCACCUUUGAGGCGGAGAUCCUUCCCCCUGCGCCGUCGCCGGAAGCUGAGAUGGACCUUACCGAAGGCGGGGACGGAGCUGAGGGCGCGACUCCUUCCCAAGGCGGCGCCUAACUCUUGCUGAAACAGUUUCUGUUGGAUGUGUGUGUGUCUUACUGCGGCCGCUGAGGCCUGAACACUUUGUUUUCAUUGCAUGAAGUCGUACUCUUCUUCCUUUUAUUUUGCGUGUCUGGUUUAGCCUGUCAAUAAUAGGGUGGCUUCCCGAGUUGGGUCAUUUUUCGUGGCGGGUGAUGAGUGAGGUGUCCCUAACCCGGAGGCAUAGGAGUUCCUCGGCUCAGUCGGCCUCACCACUUACAUGUACCCACGUUCGCUUCUCGGGGCCCUGCUUCUGACAUAGCCGGGAGAACGCAAAAGCCUUUUUUGAUCGAAAAUUUUGGAUGCGGAGAGGUACACCCAAUCUUGACGCAGAGGGGUUCCCCCUUUUUAGCCCCCGAGGGAGGGUCGGGCUCUGCCGAGGCGAGGCCGACCCUUCCUUGACGACUGAGACUUGUGUGGGAGCGAGGUAUACGAACAGCUCGAAAACAUCUUAAGGGUAGAAGCAACGUAGCUGUCGGACGUUCCAAGCGUUGCCGUAGACCUCGCCUUGACCGCCGGCCAGCUUGUACGUUCCGGGCUCCAGAACGUCGGCGGUGACAAGCGGCCUUUCCCGGGGGUGCGUGUAGCCCCGGGUACCCCCAGCAAGGGCUCGGGGUGCUGUGCGAUGGUCGGGGUCUUCUCCUGGUUGGCUUCGAUGCCCCGUUUGGAGAUAAUGAACUCCAAGACCAUGCCCUAGGGCGCCCCGAGGACCCACCUUUCAGGGUAGAGCUUGACGCUUUUCGCUUCUUUUAGCUUGUGGAUCUCCUCGCCUAUCACUCUGCGCUUCUCCGUGUCGAAUCGGCGCAGAGGCUGCUUGACGGGUCGGGCUCCGGCCCGAAUAUCCAGCGAGUGCUCGGCGACAUCCCUCGGUAUGCCGGGCAUGUCCGAGGGACUCCACGCAAAGACGUCGGUGUUUGCGCGGAGAAAGUCGAUGAGCACCGCUUCCUAUUUGGGGUCGUGCCCGGAACCGAUCCGGAUCUGCUUGGAGGUGUCGCCACUGGGGUCGAGAGGGACGGCCUUGACCGUCUCCACUGGCUCGAAGUUGCCAGCAUGGCGCUUCACGUCGGGCACCUCUUUUGAGAGGCUUUCCAGGUCGGCGAUGAGGGCCUCGGACUCGGCGAGGGCCUCGGCGUACUCCACGCACUCCACGUCGCAUUCGAACGCGUGUUUGUACGUGGGGCCGACGGUGAUGACCCCGUUGGGGCCCGGCAUCUUGAGCUUCAGGUAAGUGUAGUUGGGGACGGCCAUGAACUUCGCGUAGCAUGGCCUCCCCAGUACCGCGUGGUAGGUUCCUCGGAACCCGACCACCUCGAACGUCAGAGUCUCCCUUCGGAAGUUGGAGGGCGUUCCGAAGCAGACAGGAAGGUCGAGUCGUCCGAGGGGCUGGACGCGCUUCCCGGGAAUGAUCCCGUGGAAGGGCGCAGCGCCUGCUCGGACGGAGGACAGAUCGACGCGCAGGAGCCCGAGGGUCUCGGCGUAGAUGAUGUUGAGGCAGCUGCCCCCGUCCAUAAGGACCUUGGUGAGCCUGACGUCGCCGACGAUGGGGUCGACGACGAGCGGGUAUUUCCCCGGGCUCGGCACGUGGUCGGGGUGGUCAGCUUGGUCGAAAGUGAUGGGCUUGUCGGACCAGUCUAGGUAGACUGGCGCCGCCACCUUCACCGGGCAGACCUCCCGGCGCUCUUGCUUGCGGUGCCGAGCCGAGGCAUUCGCCGCAUGCCCACUGUAGAUCAUGAAGCAGUCGCGGACCUCGGGGAACUCUCCUGCUUGGUGAUCUUCCUUCUUGUCGUCGUCGCGGGCCCUGCCACCCUCCGCGGGUGGCCCGGCCCUGUGGAAGUGGCGCCGAAGCAUGACGCACUCCUUAAGGGUGUGCUUGACGGGCCCCUGAUGAUAAGGGCACGGCUCCUUGAGCAUCUUGUCGAAGAGGUUGGCACCUCCGGGGGGCUUCCGAGGGUUCUUGUACUCGGCGGCGGCGACAAGGUCCGCGUCGGCGGCGUCGCGUUUCGCUUGCGACUUCUUCUUGCCUUUCCUCUUGGCGCCGCGCGGAGUAGACGCCUCGGGAGCAUCUUCCGAUGGGCGGCCCUGGGGCUGCUUGUCCUUUUGGAAGAUGGCUUCGACCGCCUCCUGGCCAGAGGCGAACUUGGUGGCGAUGUCCAUCAGCUCGCUCGCCCUGGUGGGGGUCUUGCGACCCAACUUACUCACCAGGUCGCGGCAGGUGGUGCCGGCAAGGAACGCGCCGAUGACAUCCGAGUCGGUGAUGUUGGGCAGCUCGGUGCGCUGCUUCGAGAAUCGUCGGAUGUAGUCCCGGAGAGACUCUCCCGGCUGCUGCCGGCAACUUCAGAGGUCCCAGGAAUUCCCGGGGCGCACGUACGUGCCCUGGAAAUUGUCGGCGAAGGCUUGUACCAGGUCAUCCCAGUUGGAGAUCUGCCCCGAAGGCAGGUGCUCCAACCAGGCGCGAGCGGUGUCGGAGAGGAACAGGGGGAGGUUGCGGAUGAUGAGGUUGUCGUCGUCCGUUCCACCAAGUUGGCAGGCCAGGCGGUAGUCCGCGAGCCACAGUUCCGGUCUCGUUUCCCCCGAGUACUUUGUGAUAGUAGUCGGGGGUCGGAACCGGGUCGGGAACGGCGCCCGUCGGAUGGCCCGGCUGAAGGCCUGUGGACCGGGUGGUUCGGGCGAGGGACUCCGAUCCUCCCCGCUGUCGUAGCGUCCCCCACGCCUGGGGUGGUAGCCUCGGCGCACCCUCUCGUCGAGGUGGGCCCGACGGUCGCGAUGAUGGUGCUCGUUGCCGAGGUGGCCCGGGGCCGCAGGCGCGGUGUUGCGCGUGUGCCCAGUGUAGACCGAGGCUUCCCGCAUGAAUCGGGAAGUCGCGGCAUGAGGUUCCGAGGGGUAUCCCUGCCUUCGGGAGGCAGAGCUCUCGGCCCGUCGGACCGCAGCGCCUUCCAGGAGAUUCUUGAGCUCUCCCUGGAUUCGCCGACCCUCGGUGGUUGAUGGCUCCGGCAUCGCGCGGAGAAGCAUCGCUGCUGCAGCCAGGUUCUGACCGGCCCCACUAGAUGCGGGUGGCGGCCUGACCCUGACGUCGUUGGCGACGCGGUGCUGGAAACCCUGGGGCAGGUGACGUAUUUCUCCGGUCGGGGGUUGACUCGCCCAUACCUUCCCGACGUCCCGGCGGAUCGGCUCAAGCGCUCCUGCUCCCUCGUCGAGCCUGGCCCGCGCCCCGCGGACUUGCUCGAGCUGUGGGUCGUGACCCCCCGCCGGAACGGGGACCACAGCUAGCUCCCGCGGGAUGUCAGCGCGAGGCACCGGCCUAGGGAGAUCACCGUCCUCCGGCAUGCCGAGAUGGUUGCCUUCGGAGGGAUCCCCUAGCUCGACGUGGAAACAUUCGCGGCUUGGGCUGCAGUCCUCGUCGUCGAGGUUGCGGCUACCGUCGGAACAGUCGGAGAGGCAGUAGUCACAUGCGGUCAUGAAGUCCCGCAUGGCACUGGGGUUGCCAAAUCCAGAGAAAUCCCAACAGAUGUUGGGGUCGUCAUCUUCCUCGGACCCAGAGGGCCCGUAGGUCGAGACGUCCGUCAGCCGGUCCCAAGGCGACCGCAUGCAAAACCUCAGAGGGUUUGAUCUCGCCUCUACGAGAGCGCCCGCCAAAGCAAGGUCGCUAGGCGGGUUGAGGCUGAGUCGAAAUGACGUAGGAUGGGAAUCGGUUGGUACCUUUCGGUCGGCGAGCAGCGACAUAGUCACGUCGGGGACUGAUUGCACCGUCGUCCCAGGUACGAGGGCGACGUCCUGCAAGCUCUCCGCGAGCGCACUGGCGUCGUCCACUUGCUCGGGGUUGGCGUGUCGCGGGGAGACGGCGCUCGCCUUUAUCUCAAACGCGAGGUCGACACCCGACGCGCCCCCCGUUGGGGCGCUGGGGACGUCGACUCGCUCGACAGCCGACGAGGCGCAGCCUCCCGCUUGGCCUUGGUUGCCCCGCCUCCUCCUCCGUUGGCGGGGGAGAGGACGGGGCGAGCUCGGAUGUUGUUCUUCCACCACGCGGGGAAGACGUCGUCGAUUCCGCCGCCGACGGGCGGGCUGCCGGCCGCCAUUGUCGUUGUCGCGUGGCGGUGGAAGGAGUAUCAUGUCGUAGCUGCCGUUGAAGGACAUGAACUCAAGACUCCCGAAACGGAGCACCGUCCCAGGUCGGAGAGGUUGCUGGAGACUGCCCAUCUGGAGCUUGACGGGAAGCUGUUCGUCAACACGCAGCAGGCCCCUACCUGGCGCGCCAACUGUCGGCGUUUCGAGACCGGGGGGUCCCUAAGCCGACGAGUGAAUGUCGCUGCGUGCCCCAGCCCAGAUGGGUCGAGCGCGUGGGCGAGCGCGAAGGGGGAAGCGAGGUGGCCGAAGAUGGGCGUGAGAGAGGUGGAAAUCCCGCGGCCUUCGUGUUCGUCCCGCGCCCAGGUCGGGUGCGCUUGUAGUAGGGGGUUACAAGAGUCCACACGGGUGAGGGAAGCGAGCGGCCCCAAGAGAGCGCCUGUCCCGUCCUCGUCCCCGCGCGGCCAACCCUCUCUAAGAGGGCCCUGGUCCUUCCUUUUAUAGUCGUAAGGAGUGGAUCCAGGUGUACAACGGGGGUGUAGCAGAGUGCUACGUGUCUAGCGGGGGAGAGCUAGUGCCCUAAGUACAUGCCGAUGUGGCAGCCGGAGAGAUCUUGGCACCCAGCUGGUGUGAUGUCGUGGCCGUCGGAGGAGCAACGGAGCCUGGCGGAGGGACAGCUGUCGGAGCGGUUGAGUCCUUGCUGACGUCCUCCUGCUUCCGUAAGAGAGCUGAGAGCCGCCGUCGUCACAGAGCUUGCGGGGCGCCAUCAUUGCCUAUCUGGCGGAGCUAGCCAGAUGGGACACCGGUCUUGUUCUCUGCGGCCCGAGUCGGCUCGGGGUAGGGUGAUGAUGGCGCUUCCUGUUGACGUGGCUGGCCUGCGCCCUAGGUUGGGCGACGUGGAGGCUCCUCCGAAGCCGAGGUCGAGUCUGUCUUCUGUGGCCGAGGCCGAGUCCGAGCCCCUGGGUCGGGCGAGGCGGAGGUCGUUCGGCAGAGGCCGGGGCGGAGUCCGAGCCCUAGGGUCAGGCGAAGCAGAGUUCGUCGUCUUCCGGGACUUAGCCCGAGUCCGAGCCCUGGGGUCGGGCGGAGCGGAGUUCGCCGUCUUCCGGGACUUAGCCCGAGUCCGAGCCCUGGGGUCGGGCGGAGCGGAGUUCGCCGUCUUCCGGGACUUAGCCCGAGUCUGAGCCCUGGGGUCGGGCGGAGCGGAGUUCGCCGUCUUCCGGGACUUAGCCCGAGUCCGAGCCCUGGGGUCGGGCGGAGCGGAGUUCGCCGUCUUCCAGGACUUAGCCCGAGUCCGAGCCCUGGGGUCGGGCGGAGCGGAGUUUGCCGUCUUCCGGGACUUAGCCCGAGUCCGAGCCCUGGGGUCGGGCGGAGCGGAGCUUCCUAUGGUGCCUUUGGCAGGGCCUGACUGCCCGUCAGUCUCACUCUGUCAAGUGGCACUGCAGUCGGAGUGGCGCAGGCGGCGCUGUCCUUUUGUCAGGCCGGUCAGUGGAGCGGCGAAGUGACGGCGGUCACUUCGGCUCUGCCGGGGGGCGUGUGUCAGGACAAAGGUGUCAGGCCACCUUUGCGUUAAAUGCUCCUGCGAUUCGGUCGGUCGGUGCGGCGAUUUAGUCAGGGUUGCUUCUUAGCGAAGGCAGGGCCUCGGGCGAGCCGGAGAUGUGUCCGCCGUUGGAGGGGGGCCUCGGGCGAGACGGAGUUCCUCCGGGGUCGGCUGCCCUUGUCUGAGGCUAGGCUCGGGCGAGGCAUGAUCGAGUCGCUCGAACGGACUGAUCCCUGACUUAAUCGCACCCAUCAGGCCUUUGCAGCUUUAUGCUGAUGGGGGUUACCAGCUGAGAAUUAGGCGUCUUGAGGGUACCCCUAAUUAUGGUCCCCGACAGCUAUAAACGCAGAAAUUGAUGGUGGCAACAUACUUCCAACUACAUCGUCCUCACAGCCAUCGUCGACCAUACUUUCACAAGGUAAAGCUUAUCGUAUCUGUUUAGUUGAGCUAUGUACGUUAGUUUGUGCCAAGUUAGGAAUGAAACUAAUGCUUUGUUUUCUCUGCUUCUUUAUUUCCAUUUCGUUCUACCUGUAUAUGAUGGGUCACCUAAGGCUGAAACGACAGACUGCAGAGUCUGCCGGAUAUACACAAACUGGCACUGUGCUCACCUGAAAAUAGGCAGCUUUAUAAAAAAAAUACAAAAAAACUCCUGAAACUACGUUGAUUGAAACUAAACUGGUCAAAUUGAGUAAUGAUUUAUGCAUAUGGAAAAAGGACUAAACUUAUACACUGCUCACAUGCUGCACAAACUACACCACGAAUUCAGUAGAACAUAUGCUAAAAAGAGGCUAAUAUGCAUCAUUUGUCGAGAACACCACAUGCUGCGCACAGAACUGAUGUCUAUCUCAGAAAAUUACUUGAAGCAACCACAACAUUAUAGCUCAGGUAGAUAUUCAGAAUAUGUUCCAGCCAUAUUAAAGACUCGGUAAUAUUACACUAGGACAGGCCAUGCUAGCGUUUAGGCCAUAGUAUUACAGUUUAGAGUCAUUUUUUCCAUCUACAGAACAAGCAUUUCCCUCUUCUGACUGAGUAUGUUUCUUUUUUAGUGCAGGUCUUUUCAUUGCGCCCUCUCCCCAUCAACUGCAACUCUUCUGGCUCUAACCUAUUUUUUGUCUGCCUCCUAACUCCACAGCAGGACAAGGAUCAGGUGUCACACAAAACAAGGGGGUUGCCUUCAUCCGUGAGCCGUCACUGACACCAGAGAGUCACAAAGUUUUGUCUAGCGCCAAGGUUCGCUGUUGUACUCAAUGGAAAAAAUAGCUACUUACAGUAUAGAGCAAUGUUCUCCUUCUGUAUACACUAAGAAAUAAGCCCUAGAUAUGUCUUUUCGUUGCAGUGUGAUUUACAGACAGCCCCACAUCAGGGAGCCAAUCUGCUGCUAGGAACAGAGAUUAUCACUUCUCCGCCUAACGUGCAGACGCCAUCAGGAGCUGCUUACAGUGUGCUAGAUGGGUCUACAAACAAGACUCUGUGGGGGAUAGAUAUCCCCCGGGUCCACUAAAGGAGUAAAAGACCUCACGAAAGGCCCAAGGGCCCAACAAAUCGUAAGGUCAUUCUUUCGUGGGCCUGGGGAGAAACAACCAACAAAGCAGAGCGACGUGAAACCGGAUUGGUGCAAACCCGGACGGCCCACAACGUCGAGCGAGUGAAUCGCAACAGAGACCCGACUUUCCCGCGCUGAAGCCCCCAUGCAACGGAGCCAUGCGAGGAUAAGUCGGCGAGGGUUACGUAGGGAUAAACUCAAGAGGUUCACUACCUUUUAGCUACUUGUUGUUAUCAUAUCCACGUGUACUGCCCCACGGUCGAGUAUAUAAGGCCUAGGGGGCACCCCUUCAGAACGAUCGACCCUAUCUUACUUAGCCACCCAUAUCAACUCUCUGUGUCUUCGAUCCGGAGAGCCCUCUUGUAACCACGCUCACCAAGCAUACUCACCAGGACAUAGGGUGUUACGCAUCUCUAAGCGGCCCGAACCUGUAAAUCUUGUCCACUGUCCCUCAUGCGAUCGGCACGAACCAUUUUGCUACAGUUGUCGAUAUCGUCCUACUCCUAGAAACACCUUGAGGGGCAACCCCGGGUGUGCGGUCGGACCCAAAACACCGACAGCUGGCGCGCCAGGUAGGGGGUGUGUCGACGAUCCAAGCUAGCUCAAUGGCCGUCACCUUCUACAGCAAGAUCACCAUGCGUCCCGGAUCCGUAUUCUGCUUCGGGACAAUCUCAUCUGUAGCGGAUGAAGAGGGAAUUCUACAUCGUAUCGCGGAUCCGCCGGAAAGGAAGUCUCCUCCAACGAACUCCGAAAAUGCCGGAGAGGCGCAACCUCCAGCUCUUCGGAAGAAGAUCGUCUCCGGAAAGUCGGGGGCCGAGGGCUCGCUGACCCGGAAGACUCCGCUGUCUACUUCCCCGACAAAAGAAUGGACACGGAUCGCGAGGAAGAAGGAGACCAGGGAAAAGCAAGUCGUUCUUUCCAUUCCUCCGGCCUCAAAGGAGAACGGAAAGAAAUUCGCCACGACAGCAACACCAUUCUACCCCGACGUCCUCUUCAUCGGGAGAGUGGAGUCGCCCACCGUCUCCGACGACGAACCGACCGCGCCCGGAGAGGAACCGCCUCAAUGAGAAUCCCGCCGACGGAGGAAUCGGCGCAGGAACGUUCGACGACAUCACGCGGCCGGAGAACGGGAUCCGGAGCAGCUUGUCUCGCGAGACGAGGUCUCGGAGAUAGGAGAAACUCCGGAAGAACGCGUCUUCAGAGAACGAAGGAACUCCCAACGACGUGAUUGCCGAUGGGCUCAGGAACAAGCUGAGCAAGACGCAAGACAACGCCGGGAGAAUCCGCUCUUCGGGCGCAACCUGAAUCCUGACUUCGCCCGAGCUAUGAACACGCCAAGCGAAGUCGGAGGAGUACUAGCUCGGAUAGCUGAUGGACUUCCUCGGACUCCCGACGCCGAGGGAUACCGACGCCUGUUCACCCAGGCAGCCAACCAUCUUCUACCGCUCGCUCACCCACCGAACGAUCUACGACACGCCAUCAACAGUCGCCGAGACGCGCGAAGCUCCAUCAAUGCUUCGCGCGAACGGCGGCAUGAGAACGAGAUUUGCUGUCGGGAGGAGUACGACCGGGAUCAUGGCAUCCCGACUCAGAGCCAGGCUACCAGGACUGAGUCGGCAACGGCCUCAACUGGCGGUACCACUCGGGGACGGUAGAGGAACCACAAUCACAACUCCCCUCCCCGGGACAGACAUCGUCCCCGACGACAGGAGGACACGUGCGGAGUGUCCGCUCUUACUCCGCGCCUUAGGGCCAUCCAAUGGCCUCCCAACUUCAAGGUAUCCAAUGUCGACAAAUAUGAACCUAAGCAGGAUCCAGGGGGUUGGCUAGCCGUCUACACCACCGCUGCUCGAGCUGCCGGGGCAUCUGAGGACGUUAUGACCGCAUAUUUGCCCAUCGUCCUUGGGCAAGAUGCGCUGCAGUGGCUACGACAUCUACCCCGACACUGCAUCGACGACUGGGGAGACUUCAGUCGACGUUUCACUGCCAACUUCCAGUCCCUCUCCGACAAGCCAGCGCAACCGUGGGACCUCAAAUCCAUCAAGCGCCGGGGGGAUGAGACUCUCCGGUCGUACCUCAAAAGGUUCCAGACCAUGAGAAAUCGCAUCCCCGAGGUCACGGAGGCGGCCGUGAUCGAGGACUUCUACAGAGGAUCCAACGACUCGGCUUUUGUCCGAGCCAUACUACAGAAAGCGCCGACUACUUCCGAGGAGCUGUUCCGGGAAGCCGACCUCUACAUCACCACCGACGAGCGAGCUCAGGACCUCAUCGGAGGAGCAAAGCCUGCACCGGCAGCACCACGACGCGACGCGAACCAGCCACCCGACAAACGCUGGGAGAAGAGGCCUCGCGAAGAAGUACACGCCGCCGGACCACCUGCCUCUCGCGCCCGAGGAGGACCUCGCGGAGGCGAGCGCACGUUGGACGACAUCCUCGACGCCCAGUGCCCAUACCACAAGGACAUGCGCCACACUCUUCGCAACUGCCGGGACUUCAAGCACUCUGUUGGGCAUGGCCGACCCUUCCAACCUCUACCUCCUCCUCCGCCGAGGGGAGGACCGGAUGAACCACGACAACCUCAUCAGCCGGAGGAGGGAGGAGGAGGAGUUUUCCCACGCGUCGACAGGGAGGUCAACGUCAUCUUCGGCGGACAUGGGUUGCAGGAGAACAAGAGACAACAAAAGCUCAACGACCGCCAGAUACUGGUGGCGACCACCGGUCCUCCCGCCCCAUACCGGUGGUCAGAACACCCGAUCACCUUCACUCGGGAGGAUCAAUGGCUCAACUUCGACCAUCCGGGCAAAUAUCCGCUCCUCGUCGAUCCGGUGAUCCGAGAGAGCCGGGUGAAGAAGGUGCUAGUGGACGGGGGGAGCAGCAUCAACGUCACCUUCCCCGGACACUCCAAGGCUUGGGGGCUCACCUCAAAGAGCUCCACAAGUCGGACACUCCUUUCUUCGGCAUCAUGCCGACGGAGGGGGAAUACCCGCUGGGCCACAUCUACAUGUCGGUCACCUUCGGAACUCCGGAGAACUACAGAACCGAGUUCCUGAGGUUUGAAGUGGCGAACUUCGACUGCGGGUACAACGCCAUCAUCGGAAGGCCAGGAUUGGCCAAAUUCAUGGCCAUUCCGCACUAUACAUACAUGAUACUGAAGAUGCCAGGACCGCAAGGGAUCAUAACUGUGCGCACCGACUUCCAAGGCGCCGCAGAAUGUUUCCGAGUGGCCAUCCAAGCAGCCCUCACCACCAAACCGUCAACGGUCCCUUCUACACUGGCGAACUCUAAGCCUGAGGAGGACCUCGCAGUACCGGCAAACGAAGCUCAGGCCGCGACCUCUAUGCGGCCGACUGAAGAAACCAAGCGAAUCAACCUGGGGUUCGCUGAUGAGCGCAAGACAACCAUCAUCAGCUCCAGCUUGGACGACAAAUAGGAAAGCGCGCUCGUCCAGUUCCUGCAAGAUAACCGAGAUGUAUUCGCAUGGCAACCUGCGGAUAUGCCGGGAGUCCCAAGAGAACUGGCCGAGCACAAGUUGAAGGUUUAUCCCCAGGCGAGACCGAUCCGGCAAAAGCUACGUCGUUUCACGCCCGACAAGAGAGAGGCCAUUCGCGCCGAGUUAGCUCGCUUGGUUGCGGCUGGAUUUAUUAGAGAAGUAUUACACCUCGAGUGGUUAGCCAACCCUGUUCUUGUACUCAAAAAGAAUAAAGUGGAUUGGCGCAUGUGCGUCGACUAUACUGAUCUCAACAAACACUGUCCGAAGGAUCCCUUCGGGCUCCCGAGGAUAGAUCAGGUGGUGGACUCUACCACUGGAUGUUAUGUGCUAUCUUUCUUAGAUUGCUAUUCCGGGUAUCAUCAGAUUAGUUUGGCAAAAGAAGACGAGGAAAAAACGGCGUUCAUCACUCCGUUUGGUGCUUUCUGUUAUACCUCCAUGCCGUUCGGCCUCAAAAACGCUGGAGCGACUUAUCAGAGAGCCAUUCAAACAUGCUUAGUCGAUCACUGGGGCAAGCGUGUGGAGGCUUACGUAGAUGAUGUGGUAAUCAAAACAGAGAAUUCGGAAAACUUCAUCGAAGACUUACAGCUGGUUUUCAACAGCCUGAGACGAUAUAGAUGGAAGCUCAAUCCCAAAAAAUAUGUUUUCGGGGUACCAGCAGGAAAGUUGCUCGGGUUUAUCGUCAGCCACCGGGGAAUUGAGGCUAAUCCAGAUAAGAUUGAAGCUAUCAUGAAGAUGGAAGCUCCUCGGUCACAAAAGAAGGUUCAGCGACUUACUGGAUGCAUGGCGGCUCUGAGCAGAUUUAUAUCCAGGCUGGGAGAAAGAGGUUUGCCAUUUUACAAACUACUCAAGAAGGUGGAUAAGUUUCAAUGGACUUCAGAAGCACAAGAAGCUCUAGAUGCACUGAAGAAAUUCUUGACAACACCACCAGUACUGAAACCACCCCGGCGAGCUACGUCGACUCAACCGGCUGAAGAUUUGCUACUGUAUAUCUCUUGCACGACUCACGUGGUAAGCACCGCGUUGGUAGUCGAGCGAGUAGAAGAAGGACAUGCCUAUCCAGUACAACAUCAUGUUUACUUCAUCAGUGAAGUUCUAGGCCCCUCGAAGAAAAAGUAUCCUCAGGUUCAGAAGCUAUUAUACGCAGUACUUCUAACUGCCCGCAAGCUGCGUCACUACUUUGACGACCACAAAGUCAUAGUAGUCACUGGUUUUCCAAUAGGGGAUAUUCUUCACAACAAGGAAGCCAUUGGCCGAAUAGCCAAGUGGGCUUGCGAGCUGGGAUCCCACGACAUCGAGUUCCGACCUCGCACUGCCAUCAAAACUCAAGCACUGGUUGAUUUCGUAUCAGAGUGGACAGAACAACAAGUACCGGAUAAUCCAGAAACUGCAGAAGUAUGGCGAAUGUAUUUUGAUGGCUCGCUGAAGCUGCAGGGAGAAGAAGCAGGGAUUCUCUUCACCGCACCUGGAGGCGAACACCUCAAGUACACCCUCCAGUUGCUAUUCCCGGCCUCUAACAAUGCAGCCGAGUAUGAAGCUUUGAUACACGGAUUAAACAUCGCCAUAUCACUGGGCGUCGAGAGAUUGAUGGUAUACGGAGAUUCUCUGGUAGUCAUCAGCCAGAUAAACAAGGAAUGGGAUUGUUCAAGCGAUUCGAUGGGAAAAUACUGCGCUGCCGUCCGAAAGCUGGAAGAUAAAUUCGAGGGUCUGGAAUUUCAUCAUAUAGAAAGAGAUCGGAACACAGCAGCCGAUGUACUGUCCAAGCUCGGAUCCAGUCGAACUCAGGUCCCACCCGGAGUCUUCGUGCAAGAAAUUCUGCAGCCAAGUAUCUCAAUGGAUCAAACAGAAGAGUGCAACAUCAUAGAUCAACCCGAGUCAGACUCUGAUGACUGGAGAAGGCUGAUUAUUAAGUAUAUAAAGAAUGAAGAAGAACCAGACGACAAGAACUCGGCAGAGCGCAUUGCCAGGCAGUCGGCUCACUAUACACUCAUUGUGGAGAUAUUGUACAGAAGGGGCGCAUCAGGCAUCCUCAUGAAAUGCGUUCUCCCGUCCACUGGGAAGCAACUUCUGGAGGAGGUCCAUGCAGGGCAAUGUGGAAUACAUGCAGCAUCCAGAACACUAGUCGGGAAGGUUUUCAGGUCAGGAUUCUAUUGGCCGACAGCGAAGAACGAUGCAGCCGAGUUAGUUCAGAGGUGCGAAGCUUGCCAAUACUUGUCAAAGCAACAGCGCAUGCCAGCACAGCAACUACAGACCAUACCAGUAACCUGGCCUUUCGCAUGCUGGGGACUGGAUAUGAUUGGACCUUUCAAGAAAGCUCAAGGGGGAUAUACUCAUGUAUUGGUGGCGAUUGACAAAUUCACUAAAUGGAUAGAGUUCAAGCCCAUUGCUUCUUUAACCUCUGCUAAGGCCGUGGAAUUCAUACAAGACAUAAUAUUCAGGUUCGGGAUACCGAACAGCAUCAUCACUGACUUAGGAUCCAACUUCACCAGUUCAGAAUUCUUCGACUUCUGCGAGCAAAAGAGCAUUCAGAUCAAGUACGCAUCUGUAGCACAUCCAAGAGCCAACGGGCAGGUUGAGCGAGCCAACGGAAUGAUAUUGGAGGCACUCAGGAAAAAGGUCUUCGAUAAGAAUGAAAAAUUUGCAGGAAAGUGGAUAAGAGAAUUGCCUUAUGUUGUUUGGAGCCUAAGAACCCAACCUAGCCGAGCCCUGCAUGGAAACACUCCUUUCUUCAUGGUCUAUGGGUCGGAGGCAGUGCUACCUGCUGAUCUCAAGUUUGGGGCGCCAAGGUUGAUCUUCGAAAGCAUAGCAGAAGCUGAGGCCACCAGGCUGGAGGACAUUAAUGUACUUGAGGAAGAACGGCUGAAUGCGGUAAUCCAAUCAGCACGGUACCAGCAGACUCUAAGGCGCUAUCACGACAAGGCUGUGAGGCAACGGUUCUUUUCAGUAGGAGACCUCGUCCUCCGCCGAAUUCUAACGGGGGAGGGACGACACAAGUUAUCACCCUUAUGGGAAGGACCCUUCAUAGUAGCAGAAGUCACUCGACCCGGAUCGUAUCGCCUCACUCAGAUGGAUGGCACAGAAGUUGGGAACUCCUGGAACAUAGAGCACCUCAGAAAGUUUUAUCCCUAGCUGUAUUUCAAAACUGCUAGGGCGACAAUGUAUUCUGUAAAGUGGAAAUAUGUCAUCAAUAAAGAGAGAUUUCAAAGAUACUCAGCUCGUUUACGAUUGACUUGCAUUCCUACUUAACUCGGGGUGACCACUAUGCCCUACAAAUGGAGCAAUCGACUUAAGUCGGCAACGACUUAAGGCGGUGCAACAUGCUCACGCUUACUUAACUCGGGGUGACCACUAUGCCCUACAAACGGAGCAAUCGACUUAAGUCGGCAACGACUUAAGGCGGUGCAACAUGCUCACGCUUACUUAACUCGGGGUGACCACUAUGCCCUACAAACGGAGCAAUCAACUUAAGUCGGCAACGACUUAAGGCGGUGCAACAUGUUCACGCUUACUUAACUCGGGGUGACCACUAUGCCCUACAAACGGAGCAAUCGACUUAAGUCGGAUCGUUGCAACAUGCUCACGCUUACUUAACUCGGGGUGACCACUAUGCCCUACAAACGGAGCAAUCGACUUAAGUCGGCAACGACUUAAGGCGGUGCAACAUGCUCACGCUUACUUAACUCGGGGUAACCACUAUGCCCUACAAACGGAGCAAUCGACUUAAGUCGGCAACGACUUAAGGCGGUGCAACAUGCUCACGCUUACUUAACUCGGGGUAACCACUAUGCCCUACUAACGGAGCAAUCGACUUAUGUCGGCAACGACUUAAGGCGGUGCAACAUGCUCACGCUUACUUAACUUGGGGUGACCACUAUGCCCUACAAAUGGAGCAAUCGACUUAAGUCGGCAACGACUUAAGGCGGUGCAACAUGCUCACGCUUACUUAACUCGGGGUGACCACUAUGCCCUACAAACGGAGCAAUCGGUUUAAGUCGGCAACGACUUAAGGCGGUGCAACAUGCUCACGCUUACCUAACUCGGGGUGACCACUAUACCCUACUAACAGAGCAAUCGGCUAAAGUCAGUGGCGACUUAAGCCGGUGCAACAUACUCGCGCCUAUGUAAUUCAGGGGGUGACUUCCAUAUCCCGCAAACAAAUUUCAUAAUCAUCAUGCGUCAUUUCAUUACUGCAAAUUUAUGAACCAAUAAAUUCUGAUACAAUAAGAGAGUAAUUAUGUCAUUCGAAUGAUAAACUGAUGUCCUCUAACAAAUACUCGAUCAUGCUAACCGCGCGCUCAGAGCACGCAGAAUGUUUCUCUAUUUCACAAAGUCUUUCUCAGGAGCGACCGACGAAGAAGGGCGACUCGAGGAAUCAGGGGCAGCAUUCACGUCAGCCUUUAUGUCUUCAGGAACAACCACGCCGGGUCUCCUCAUUAAGAUUCGUCCCGCCCGAAUAGCCUUGUCCAUGGCUUUAUCGCGCUGGGCUUUGAGAGUAGCAGCAGUUUCUUCGGCAACUUUAGCAGCCAGCCGAGCAGCCUCUAACUCCUGGGCAAUGGAUUUCUUGGAAGCUCGGAGUUCUUUGAUGGUGGCAUCCUUUGCUGAUAUCAAUUGCUUAAGGCGGGUCACUUCGUCCGCAGAUUCUUGCAGUUUACAACGUUGAUUGUCCAGUUCCUCCAUUGUAAAACGAUGACUCCUCUCCAAGAUUGACAGCGAGUUGCUAGAAUCAUGAUACAAUCUGUCAAGAUUGUCACGAGAAGCAGCAAGGAUACGCUUUUCUUCCUGCAAACAAAAAUCAACUCCUUCAGAAACCAAGCAAGUAAUAGGAACAUAGCAAGGCAAGGCACAGUUUUGUAAGUUACCUUUUCAGAGUCAAGCCGAGCAUGAAGAGAAGAACUUAGGGCAUUGGCGUCAUCCAAGGCAGCGGAAACCUGAUUUAGUUCAGUUUGGCUCUGAGAGUACUUCUCCUCGAAGUCAGCGCACCGUUGAACCAUUUCAGCCUGAUCUCGGGAAUGUUUUUCCUCAAGAAUUGCAAUCUGCCGAGUCAUUCCUAGCAAGAGGUAAUCAAGCAAAACGAGGUCAGAAGGUAAAAUAGUCCACAAAGGCGAAGAGAAGAAAAAGGGCACUAACCAGCGUUAGUUGCCUCCAACUCGGAUACACGACGAUGAAGUGACACUGGAUUCCAACACGCAAGAGACGAAGCCGCUUCUGGGACGGAAGCACCUUGCAAUCUCAACUGGCUGGCCAUCCCAUCCACCAAAGCCUGAUGAGAAGAACAGAUGAACAUAAUGACAAAAGUUCAUGCAAUGUAAAGAUCAAGCUAAAAUACAGCACAGUACCUGGAGGUUGGAAAAGAACGAAGGGAUCCCCAAAUCAGGAGAAAUCAGCUGAUAACCAGGCGCCAGGCCACCACCCGAAGCAGCUUCCAACGGACCAGUAGGAAUCAGCUCAGUGCCUUCAACAGAGCCAAACGCCCGAUCAGCGGGGACGCUGCCCUCUAAAGUGACUCCCUGGUCCAAAGUUUGGGCUACCACCAUGCAGCCAGAGUGUGGAGGUGAUCCCGCGUGAACGUCCAUGGAAGUGCAGGAAGGAGACCCUGCUUGGGCACCCUCGGGGGCUGGGUCAUAGUUGGCACUGCCCACUUGAGCCGGAUCAUCCCCGACAGCACCCUCGGGGGCUGGGCAGUGGCUUACACUCUUCACCCGAGCUAAGUCAUCCCCGGCGACAUCCUCGGGGGCUGGGCAUGUGUCAGCACCAUCCUUGAGGUCCAGGCUCUCCGCAGUAACCACCUCUAAGGUUGACGGGCCUUCAGCCACUUCCAUGGGACCAGGACAAUCCAAGUCAGCAUCCCGACCCUCAAGAUCACGCUCUAAGGUCGACGAGGCACGGGAUGACCUCAACCCAGCAUCAGGCACGGCAGCGCAAGCCUCCGUCGCAUCAUCAUCCACUGGCUCUGAUAACAAGUCCUCUGGGACCAUAUCCUCAAGAGUUUGAUCAAAGUUGGCCAGGGACAGUUCUUGCAGACCAAUGAGGGCAGACAAAGCAGGAGAAGGAACUCCACUACUUUCACCGCUGGCGAUGAACUGCCGACUGUUUUUCCGAGUUAAAGGAGCCUCAUUUUCUUCCUUCUCAUCUUCCAUAGUGACAACACAAGCAACACCCCCAUUGGGGUCAGCAACAGAUGGAGCACCCACAUUGGGAUCAGUAGUAGUUUGGGUACACCCAUUGGGGUCAGCGUCAGUAAGUCCAGUCGCAGGCACUUCUUCAGUAGCAUGAACUGAGGUACCAGCGUCUUCAUCAAAACUGGAUACUCGCUGGAGGCGUCUUCUUUUCUUCUUUUGCUCAUCAGCAGAAGGCUCAGGCUGAUUGGUUCGGCUAGGGCGCCUCGGGCGAGUACUGACAGGUUUCUGGACAUCCAAAGUUGUAUCAACCUCUGGAAGGGGCACCACUGCCAACGUACCAGCAGGAGCAGCGUCGGAGGAAUCCUCAGCUAGCAGAUCAAGCAUGGCAUUUAUAUCGGCAUCACUAGGGUUCAGGGGCACCUCAAAAUGGACCUGUCGUUCGUCAUCAGGAAUCUUCCCAAGCGAAGCAACCAAAGUACUGACUUCUUCAGUAGAGGGUCGCACUCUAAGGCCCAAAUUGCCAUCAGUCACAGGUGGAUUUGACACAAAAAGGGUGAAGGCUUUGGGAGGAGGCAGGUUCCAGGCUGAGUAUGCCACUGGAGCACCAGCAUUUGACACCUUACCCCUAAGGAUCAUUUCAAGUCGGCUUACCAAGUCUACAGAAGGAAUUCUCCUGUUAGUAACCCGAGUUGAGUCGGCUAGCCCUCGAUACAGAUAUGCUGGAUAGGCCCUGUCUUUCAGUGGCUGAAUGUUCUUGAAAACAAAGUCGGCAACCACAGCUUCAGCAGUUAGACCUCUCUCUUUCAGCAGUCCAACUUCAGUUAGCAACACACCUGCCUCAGCCACUUCCUGAUCUGUGGGAGACUCGGUCCAGCUCGGAGUGCGAACGUCUGGCUGUCUUCCCGACCGGGAGGGGAGAGAAUUUCCAUAAUUAUCAACUAUGAACCACUCUAGACGCCACCCCUUAAUACUGUCCUUGAGGGGAAUCUCAAGAUACUCAGUUUUCCGCCCGCGACGCAUCUCCAAACUGGCACCUCCGACCAACUGAUGUUGUCCCCCGGCCAUCCCAGGGCGACAAUGAUACAAAUACUUCCAUAAACCGAAAUGCGGCAGCACACCAAGAAAGGCUUCACAUAGGUGAACGAAAAUGGAGAUUUGCAGAAUGGAAUUAGGGUUCAAAUGGGUCAAGUUAAUGUGGUAGAAAUCAAGGAGGCCACGGAAAAAGGGAGAGAUGGGAAGGCCGAGGCCGCGAAGAAGAAAAGGAGUGUAAACUACAGACUCGUGGAUAUCCUCUGUCGGGACAGUAGUCCCGUGGCAAAUCCGCCAAGAACAGAGUUCCCGCGGAGGAAGAACCCCGAUGGAUACGAGGUGGAGAAGUUCAGCUUCGGAAAUGAUGGACAUAUGGUUACCUGCGAAAGGCAACUGGCUGUUGGGGUCGAUCAGAGGGAUCACCGCAGCAGACGAGCUCGCAGUCUUCCUCUUGGGCGCCAUCUCGAUUUCACCAGCGAGCAGAGUAGGAGGCGAAUGGCAGAGAGGAUUCGGAAGCGGGAAUGCAAGAACUAGGGCACGGAAAGCAAAGGCGGCUAAAAGCGCAGCUCUUAUGGGAUAUUCUCGAGCCAGAUACUGUUUCAAAAAGUGCCCAGUCAUCACCCGGCGGUUAUUUCCAAAACCCCAGCACGCCACGUGGUCAUCCGGCAGUUAUUUCCAAAAAGCCGAUGCGCCACCUCAUCACUCGGUUAUCAUCCUCAAAAUAACUCAUGCGGCCUGCUAUCACUCGGCGUUGACUCUAAAACGCUGAUUUCAUAUUCCGUCGCUCGGCAUUACCUCUAAAAUGCCGACGUCACCAUCCAGUCACUCGGCGUUGACUCUAAAACGCUGAUUUCAUAUUCAGUCACUCGGCACUACUUCUAAAAUGCCGACGUCGACCUUCAAUCACUCGGCGUUGCCUCUAAAACGCUGAUCUCGUGUUCAAUCGCUCGGUAUUACUUCUAAAAUGCCGACGGCGACCUUCAAUCACUCGGCGUUGCCUCUAAAACGCUGAUAUAGCGUUCAGUCGCUCGACAUUACUUCUAAAAUGUCGACGUCGACCUUCAAUCGCUCGGCACUACUUCUAAAAUGCCAACGUCGACCUUCAAUCACUCGGCGUUGCCUCUAAAACGUUGAUCUCGUGUUCAAUCGCUAGGCAUUACUUCUAAAAUGCUGACGUCGACCUUCAAUCACUCGGCAUUGCCUCUAAGACGCUGAUAUAGCGUUCAGUCGCUCGGCAUUACUUCUAAAACGUCGACGCAGACUACAAGAUUACUCGGCAGCUACUUCUGGAAGCGUCAGUGUGAUGCCCAAGUUAUUCAUCUACUGUCUCGAAAUAACCAGUUUUAUAAUCAAGCAAAGCGAGUCAUCAAGAAGAAGCCAACGUCAUUCUUUCAUUAAGGGAAGACAAUGAGCUUACAAAUCAACUCUUCGCGAGUUGAUGCUUCCCUACUAUUACUACAUUACAUUACUACUACUACUAUACUACGCUAUACUACUCUACAUUACUACUACAUUAUUCUAACUACACUAUACUAAUAUCUAAAGACCAGUGGCGUUUAGCCACUGGCCUUGCUGCUGCUGCCACCACCGCCGCCUCUGGUGCUGCCCUUGCUCUCGUCGCCGCCGCCGCUGCCCCCGCUGCUGCCGUCACCGUCGCCGUCGCCACCGUCGUCGCCGUCGUCGUCGUCGUCCUCGUCCUCGCCGCCGUCCGAGUCCUCCUCAUCCGAGGAGUACUCCGACUCAUCCGAGCCCUCGAGCCCGGAGCGCUCGACGACCCGGAUGUACGUCCAGACUUCCGCGGCAAUCCCCUGGGAGUCGUCUGAAUCAUCAGACGACGCCGGGGGAGAGACGGGAGCCGGAGACCCCUCGGACUCGAAGGAGAACUCCUCCUCCGAGUAUUCCGAGUCGCCGAAGUCCUCUGACGGAGGAGUCGGCUCGCGCUUGCGUUUGUUACUCUUGCCCAUGGCGGAAGCAGACGGGAGAGAAGAGAAGGGUGCAGUAAAGAACAGCGAAGAGAUGUGAAAAAACUAGAGGGGCAACAACGUUAUUUAUAGAAGGGAAAGGCAACCGCUCACCUCCAACCGUGGUCACUGAACAGUCGCAAAGCAUUCAAUAAGCACUUCCACCCGUCUGGAGACACGUCAGGCGGUUGACGCCGUUUCAUGCAACACUACACCCAUUGGGACUCCAGUCAACAGCGCAAAGGAUAUGAUUACACUCGCCGUCCCAUCACAUUACUACUCAGAAGCAGCCGGCUAAAACACUCAGCGUACCAAGCCGUCCCUUGCCCACACCCAUUGGGGGGACGCCCAGGAAUUAUCAGUAUAUUUUUCAAAACGGUCACAUCUGUGCAGGGCACGCAGUGAAUACCUCAAGACAAAAAUGAGAUAUCAGUAAGGAUCAGAGGAAAGCCAAAUAUAGCCAGCAAAGUACAAGAUAUGGCCGACAGAAGCGACGUGAAGACUAGACAGAGAACGUCCAUCAAACGUCUAAUCAAUCGCAGAAGCAAAUAAAUUGCACACCUAGCAAGAUAUGGAUGGAUUGCAAACUCGGCUGCUAAAGACAAAAUAUAUGUUGACCUCUGCAGCAAAAUAUUGAUGACAUAAUGCUGUCCUCCAAAGCAUAAUGCAAAUAGCUUCAUGCCAUUUUUUUACAAACGAAAGGGAUAAUUUUCAGCAAAGAGGCACGAAAGGAAGACCUUCGAAUGGAUUAUCCUUAAAAAAAUCCAUUUGAAGGUCGGGGGCUACACCCAUUGGGUGCACCUCCGGUGCACCCCAUGGAUUAUCAUUCCAAGCCGAGAUAGUGCCGACUUCUAAGGCGUGGGACAAGAUUAAAAGACCAACCCUCAACCAAGAUGCAGGAGCACAAAUGGAGAUAAUUUCUGGGGAAGACCUUCGAGUAGAUUAUUUUCUAAAAUCUACUCAAAGCUCGGGGGCUACACCCAUUGGGUGCGGUGCACCCAAUGAAGUUCAAAAUCCUACAAAUUGAAAUGCCGACCUCUAAGGCACAAGCAUGAAACUAAACUUCGGUCAAAUGAGUGAUCGAAGCAAGAGAAGACAGCAGGAAGUCAUUUUUCUUCAAAAACACCCGCAAGUUGGACCUGGGAUCUUUGGGCUGAUUACCUCUAAAUUAACCCAAAGAUCGGGGGCUUGUGGGGGAUAGAUAUCCCCCGGGUCCACUAAAGGAGUAAAAGACCUCACGAAAGUCCCAAGGGCCCAACAAAUCGUAAGGUCAUUCUUUCGGGGGCUGUGGGGGAUAGAUAUCCCCUGGGUCCACUAAAGAAGUAAAAGGCCUCACGAAAGGCCCAAGGGCCCAAUAAUUCGUAAGGUCAUGCUUUCGUGGGCCUAGGGAAAGACAACCAACAAAGAAAAGAAGACGUGAGACUGAUUAGUGCAAACCCAGACGGCCCACAACGUCGAACGAAUGAAUCGCAACAAAGACCCGACUUUCCCGCGCUGAAGCCCCCAUGCAACAGAGCCAUGCGAGGAUAAGUCGGCAAGGGUUACGUAAGGAUAAACUCAAGAGGUUCACUAUCUUUUAGCUACUUGUUGUUAUCAUAUCACAUGUACUGCCCCACGGUCGAGUAUAUAAGGCCUAGGGGGCAUCCCUUCAGAUCGAUCGACCCUGUUCUACUUAGCCACCCACAUAAACUCUCUGCGCCCUCUAUCCAGAGAACCCUCUUGUAACCACGCUCAUAUACUCACCAGGACGUAGGGUGUUACGCAUUUCUAAGCGGCCCGAACCUGCAAAUCUUGUCCAUUGUCCCUCGUGCGAUUGGCACGAACCAUUUUGCUACAGUCGUUGACACCGUCCUACUCCUAAAAACACCUUGAGGGGCAACCCCGGGUGUGAGGUCGGACCAAAAACACCGACAGCUGGCGCGCCAGGUAGGCGGUGUGUCGACGAUCCAAGCUAGCUCAAUGGCCGUCACCUUUCACAGCAAGAUCGCCGUGCGUCCCGGAUCUGUAUUCUGCUUCGGGACAAUCUCAUCCGUAGCGGACGAAAAGGGAAUUCUACACCGCCUCGCAGAUCUGCCGGAACAGAAGUCUCCUCCAACAAACUCCGAAAAUGCUGGAAGGACGCUACCUCCGGCUCUUCGGAAAAAGAUCGUCUCCGGGGAGGCUGGAGCUAGAAGCUCGCUGACCCGGAAGACUCCGCUAUCUACUUCUCCGACGAAAGAAUGGACACGGGUCGUGAGAAAGAAGGAGACCAGGGAGAGGCAAGUCGUUCUUCCCGUUCCUCCGACCUCAAAGGAGAACGGAAAGAAAGUCGCCGCGGCAGCAAUACCGUUCUACCCCGACGUCCUCUUCAUCGGGAGAGCAGAGUCGCCCGCCGUCUCCGACGAUGAACCAACCGUGCCUGGAGAAGAACCGCCUCAGCGGGAAUCCCGCCGAUGAAGGAACCGACGCAGGAACGUUCGACGACAUCACGCAGCUGGAGAACGGGAUCCGGAGCAGCCUGUCUCGCGAGACGAGGUCUCAGAGAUAGGAGAAACUCCGGAAGAACGCGUCUUCAGGGAACGAAGGAACUCCCGACGACGUGAUCGCCGUCGGACUCAGGAGCAAGCCGAGCAAGACGCAAGGCAACGACGCGAGAAUCCGCUCUUCGGGCGCAACUUGAACCCCGACUUCGCCCGAGCUAUGAACACGCCGAGCGAGGUCGGAGGCGUUCUAGCUCGGAUAGCUGACGGGCUUCCUCGGACUCCCGACGCCGAAGGAUACCGACGCAUGUUCACUCAGGCAGCCAACCAUCUUCUACCGCUCGCUCACCCGCCGAACGAUUUGCGACACGCCAUCAACAGUCGCCGAGACGCGCGAAGGUCUAUCAAUGCUUCGCGCGAACGGCGGCACGAGAACGAAAUUCGCCGUCGGGAGGAGUAUGACCGAGAUCAUGGCUUCCCGACUCAAAGCCAGGCCACCCGAACUGAGUCGGCAACAGCUUCAACUGGUGGUACCACCCGGGGACGGUCGAGGAACCGCCACCGCCACUCCCCUCCCCGGGACAGACGUCAUCCCCGACGGCAGGAGGACACGUGCGGAGUAUCCGCCCUUACUCCGCGCCUUAGGGCCAUCCAAUGGCCUCCCAACUUCAAGGUAUCCAAUGUCGACAAAUAUGAACCUAAGCAGGAUCCAGGGGGUUGGUUAGCCGUCUACACCACCGCUGCUCGGGCUGCCGGGGCAUCUGAAGACGUUAUGACCGCGUACCUGCCCAUCGUCCUUGGGCAAGAUGCGCUGCAGUGGCUACGACAUCUACCCCGACACUGCAUCGACGACUGGGGAGACUUCAGUCGACGCUUCACCGCCAACUUCCAGUCUCUCUCCGACAAGCCAGCGCAACCAUGGGACCUCAAAUCCAUCAAGCGCCGGGGAGACGAGACUCUCCGGUCAUACCUUAAAAGGUUCCAGACCAUGAGAAACCGCAUCCCCGAGGUCACGGAGGCGGCCGUGAUCGAAGACUUCUACAGAGGAUCUAACGACUCGGCUUUCGUCCGAGCCAUACUACAAAAGGCGCCGACUACUUCCGAGGAGCUGUUCCGGGAAGCCGACCUCUAUAUCACCGCCGACGAGCGGGCCCAGGACCUCAUCGGAGGAGCAAAACCCGCACCGACAGCACCACGACGCGACGCGAACCAGCCACCCGACAAACGCUGGGAGAAGAGGCCUCGCGAAGAAGUACACGCCGCCGGACCGCCUGCCUCUCGCGCCCGAGGAGGACCUCGCGGAGGCGAGCGCACGCUGGACGACAUCCUCGACGCCCAGUGCCCGUACCACAAGGACAUGCGCCAUACUCUACGUAACUGCUGGGACUUCAAGCACUCCGUCGGACAUGGUCGACCCUUCCAACCCCUACCGCCUCCUCCGCCGAGGGGAGGACCAGGUGAACCACGACAGCCCCAUCAGCCGGAGGAGGGGGGAGGAGGAGCUUUCCCGCGCGUUGACAGGGAGGUCAACGUCAUCUUCGGCGGACAUGGGUCGCAGGAGAACAAAAGACAACAAAAGCUCAACAACCGCCAGAUACUGGUGGCGACCACCGGCCCUCCCGCCCCGUACCGGUGGUCGGAGCACCCAAUCAUUUUCACUCGGGAGGAUCAAUGGCUCAACUUUGACCAUCCAGGCAAAUACCCGCUCCUCGUCGAUUCGGUGAUCCGAGAGAGCCGGGUAAAGAAGGUUCUAGUGGACGGGGGGAGCAGCAUCAACGUCACCUUCCCCCGUACGCUCCAAGGCUUGGGGGUUCACCUCAAAGAGCUCCAUGAGUCAGACACUCCUUUCUUCGGCAUCGUGCCGACGGAAGGGGAAUACCCGCUGGGCCACAUCUACAUGCCGGUCACCUUCGGGACUCCGGACAACUACAGAACCGAGUUCCUGAGGUUCGAGGUGGCGAAUUUCGACUGUGGUUACAACGCCAUCAUCGGAAGGCCGGGGCUAGCCAAAUUCAUGGCCAUCCCGCACUAUACCUACAUGAUACUGAAGAUGCCAGGACCGCAAGGAAUCAUAACUGUGCGCGCCGACUUCCAAGGCGCCGCAGAAUGUUUCCGAGUGGCCAUCCAAGCAGCCCUCACCACCAAGCCGUCAACGGUUCCUUCUACACCGGCGAACUCUAAGCCUGAGGAAGACCUCGCCGUGCCGGCAAACGAAGCUCAGGCCGCGACCUCUAUGCGGCCGACUGAAGAAACCAAGCGGAUCAACCUGGGGUUUGCCGAUGAGCGCAAGGCGGCCAUCAUCAGCUCCAGUUUGAAUGACAAACAGGAAAGCGCGCUCGUCCAGUUCCUGCAAGAUAACCGAGACGUAUUCGCAUGGCAACCUGCGGAUAUGCCGGGAGUCCCGAGGGAGUUGGCCGAGCACAAAUUGAAAGUCUAUCCUCAGGCGAGGCCGAUCCGGCAAAAACUGUGUCGUUUCACGCCCGACAAGAGAGAGGCCAUUCGUGCCGAGUUAGCUCGCUUGGUCGCGGCCGGAUUUAUUAGAGAAGUACUACACCCCGAGUGGUUAGCCAACCCUGUUCUUGUACUCAAAAAGAAUAAAGUGGAUUGGCGCAUGUGCGUCGACUAUACUGAUCUCAACAAACACUGUCCGAAGGAUCCCUUCGGGCUCCCGAGGAUAGAUCAGGUGGUGGAUUCCACCGCUGGAUGCUCUGUGCUGUCUUUCUUAGAUUGCUAUUCCGGGUAUCAUCAGAUUAGUUUGGCAAAAGAAGACGAGGAAAAAAUGGCGUAAAUCACCCCGUUUGGUGCUUUCUGUUAUACCUCCAUGUCGUUCGGCCUCAAAAACGCUGGAGCGACUUAUCAGAGAGCCAUUCAAACAUGCUUAGCCGAUCACUGGGGCAAGCGUGUGGAGGCUUACGUAGACGACGUGGUGAUUAAAAUGGAGGAUCCGGAAAACUUCAUCGAAGACUUACAGCUGGUUUUCAACAGCCUGAGAAGAUAUAGAUGGAAGCUCAAUCCUGAGAAAUGUGUCUUCGGGGUACCAGCAGGAAAGUUACUCGGAUUUAUUGUCAGCCACCGGGGAAUUGAGGCUAAUCCAGAUAAGAUUGAAGCUAUCAUGAAGAUGGAAGCCCCUCGGUCGCAAAAGAAGGUUCAGCGACUCACUGGAUGUAUGGCAGCCCUGAGCAGAUUCAUAUCCAGGCUGGGAGAAAAAGGUCUACCAUUUUACAAACUGCUCAAGAAGGUGGAUAAGUUUCAAUGGACGUCAGAAGCACAAGAAGCUCUAGAUGCACUGAAGAAAUUCCUGACAACACCACCAGUACUAAAGCCGCCCCGGCGAGCUACGCCGACUCAACCAGCUGAAGAUUUGCUGCUAUAUAUCUCUUGCACGACUCACGUGGUAAGCACUGCGUUGGUAGUCGAGCGAGUGGAAGAAGGGCAUGCCUAUCCGGUACAACAUCCUGUCUACUUCAUCAGUGAGGUUCUAGGUCCAUCGAAGAAAAAGUAUCCUCAAGUUCAGAAGCUAUUAUAUGCAGUACUUCUAACUGCUCGCAAGCUGCGCCACUACUUUGACGACCACAAAGUCAUAGUAGUCACUGGUUUUCCAAUAGGGGAUAUUCUUCACAACAAGGAAGCCAUUGGCCGAAUAGCCAAGUGGGCUUGCGAGUUGGGAUCCCAUGAUAUCGAGUUCCGACCUCGCACCGCCAUCAAAACUCAGGCACUGGUUGAUUUCGUAUCGGAGUGGACAGAACAGCAAGUACCGGAUAAUCCAGAAACUGCAGAAGUAUGGCGAAUGUAUUUUGACGGCUCGCUGAAACUGCAGGGAGCAGGAGCAGGAAUUCUUUUCACUGCACCUGGAGGCAAGCACCUCAAGUAUGCUCUCCAGCUGCUAUUCCCGGCCUCUAACAACGCAGCCGAGUAUGAAGCUUUGAUACACGGAUUGAACAUCGCCAUAUCACUGGGUGUCAAGAGACUGAUGGUGUAUGGAGACUCUCUGGUAGUCAUCAGUCAGAUAAACAAGGAAUGGGAUUGUUCAAGUGAUUCAAUGGGAAGAUACUGCACCGCCGUCCGAAAGCUAGAAGAUAAAUUCGAAGGUCUGGAGUUUCAUCAUAUAGAAAGGGAUCGGAACACGGCGGCCGAUGUACUGUCCAAGCUCGGAUCCGGUCGGACUCAGGUCCCGCCCGGGGUCUUCGUGCAAGAAAUUCUCCAGCCAAGCGUCUCGACGGAUCAAAUAGAAGAGUGCAACAUCAUAGAUCAACCCGAGUCAGACUCUGAUGACUGGAGGCAACCGAUUAUUAAGUAUAUAAAGAAUGAAGAAGAACCAGAUGACAAGAACUCGGCAGAGCGCAUUGCCAGACAAUCAGCUCACUAUACACUCAUUGGGGAGGUAUUAUACAGGAGGGGCGCGUCAGGCGUCCUCGUGAAGUGCGUUCUCCCAUCCACCAGGAAGCAGCUUCUGGAGGAAGUCCAUGCAGGGCAGUGUGGAGUACAUGCAGCAUCCAGAACAUUAGUCGGGAAGGUUUUCAGGUCAGGAUUCUAUUGGCCGACGGCGAAAAACGAUGCAGCUGAGUUAGUUCAGAGGUGCGAAGCUUGCCAAUACCUGUCAAAGCAACAGCACAUGCCAGCACAGCAGCUACAAACCAUACCAGUAACUUGGCCUUUCGCAUGCUGGGGAUUGGAUAUGAUUGGACCUUUCAAGAAAGCUCAAGGAGGAUACACCCAUGUAUUGGUGGCAAUUGACAAAUUCACUAAAUGGAUAGAGUUCCAGCCCAUUGCCUCUUUAACCUCUGCUAAAGCCGUGGAAUUCGUACAAAGCAUAAUAUUCAGAUUUGGGAUACCAAACAGUAUCAUCACUGACUUGGGAUCCAACUUCACCAGUUCAGAAUUCUUCGACUUCUGCGAGCAAAAAAGCAUUCAGAUCAAGUAUGCAUCUGUAGCCCAUCCGAGGGCCAACGGGCAGGUUGAGCGAGCCAACAGAAUGAUAUUGGAGGCACUUAGAAAAAGGGUCUUUGACAAGAACGAAAAAUUCGCAGGAAAAUGGAUAAGAGAAUUGCCUUAUGUUGUUUGGAGCUUGAGAACCCAACCUAGUCGGGCCCUGCAUGGAAACACUCCUUUCUUCAUGGUCUAUGGGUCGGAGGCAGUGCUGCCUGCUGAUCUCAAGUUCGGGGCGCCAAGAUUGAUUUUCGAAAGCAUAGCAGAAGCCGAAGCCACUAGGCUGGAGGAUAUUGACGUACUUGAGGAAGAACGACUGAAUGCAGUGAUUCAAUCAGCACGAUACCAGCAGACUCUAAGGCGCUACCAUGACAAAGCUGUGCGGCAACGUUUCUUUUCGAUGGGAGACCUCGUCCUCCGCCGAAUUCUAACGGGGGAGGGACGGCACAAGUUAUCACCCUUAUGGGAAGGACCUUUCAUAGUAGCAGAGGUCACUCGUCCCGGAUCAUAUCGCCUCACCCAGAUGGAUGGCACAGAAGUUGGGAACUCCUGGAACAUAGAGCACCUCCGAAAGUUUUACCCCUAGCUGUAUUUCAAAACAGCCGGGGCGACCAUGUAUUCUGUAUAAUGGAAAUAUGUCAUCAAUAAAGAGAGACUUCAAAGAUACUUGGCUCAUUUAUGAUUGACUUGCAUUCUUACUUAACUCGGGGUGACCACUAUGCCCCACAAACGGAGCAAUCGACUUAAGUCGGCAACGACUUAAGGCGGUGCAACAUGCUCACGCUUACUUAACUCGGGGUGACCACUAUGCCCUACAAAUGGAGCAAUCGACUUAAGUUGGCAACGACUUAAGGCGGUGCAACAUGCUCACGCUUACUUAACUCGGGGUGACCACUAUGCCCUACAAACGGAGCAAUCGACUUAAGUCGGCAACGACUUAAGGCGGUGCAACAUGCUCACGCUUACUUAACUCGGGGUGACCACUAUGCCCUACAAACGGAGCAAUCGACUUAAGUUGGCAACGACUUAAGGCGGUGCAACAUGCUCACGCUUACUUAACUCGGGGUGACCACUAUGCCCUACAAACGGAGCAAUCGACUUAAGUCGGCAACGACUUAAGGCGGUGCAACAUGCUCACGCUUACUUAACUCGGGGUGACCACUAUGCCCUACAAACGGAGCAAUCGACUUAAGUCGGCAACGACUUAAGGCGGUGCAACAUGCUCACGCUUACUUAACUUGGGGUGACCACUAUGCCCUACAAACGGAGCAAUCGACUUAAGUCGGCAACGACUUAAGGCGGUGCAACACGCUCACGCUUACUUUACCUAGGGUGACCACUAUACCCUACUAACGGAAUUAUCAGCUAAAAGUCAUUUACGACUUAAACCGGUAUAGCAUACUCGCGCUUAUGCAGUUCGGGGGAUGAUUUCCAUAUCCCACAAACAAACUUCAUAAUCAUCAUGUAGCGUUACCACAAAUUCAAAAUUCGGAUACAAUAAGGAAGUGAUGAUGUCAUUCGAAUGAUAAGCCGAUAACCUCUAACGAGUACUUGAUCAUGCUAACUGCGCGCUCAGAGCACGCGAACUGUUUCUUUAUUUUCCAAUGUCUUUCUCAGGAACGACUGACGAAGAAGGGCGAUUCGAGGAAUCAGGAGCAGCAUUCACAUCGGCUCUUAUAUCUUCAGGGACAACCACGCCGGGUCUUCUCAUCAAGAUUCGUCCCGCCCGAAUGGCCUUGUCCAGGGCCUUAUCGCGCUGAGCUUUGAAAGUGACAGCAGCCUCUUCGGCGACUUUAACAGCCUGCUGAGCAGUUUCUAACUCCUGAGCAAUGGAUUUCUUAGAAGCUCGGAGUCCCUUGAUAGCGGCAUCCUUUGCUGAUAGCAACUGCGUAAGGCGGGUCACUUCGUCCGAGGAUUCUUGCAGCUGACGGCGCUGAUUGUCAAGCUCCUCCAUCGUAAAACGGUGGCUCCUCUCCAAGAUGGUCAGCGAGUUGCUGGAAUCUCGGUACAAUCUGUCCAAGUUGUCGCGAGAAGCAGCAAGGAUGCGUUUUUCUUCCUACAAGCAAAAAUCAACUCAUUCAGAAUCCAAGAGCAUGAUAAGGCGAAGCACGGGUUCGUAAGCUACCUUCUCAGAGUCAAGCUGAGCAUGAAGAGAAGAACUCAGAGCGUUGGCAUCAUCCAAAGCCGCAGAAACCUGACUCAACUCGAUCUGACUUUGAGAAUACUUCUCCUCGAAGUCAACGCAUCGUCGAGCCAUUUCAGCUUGAUCUUGGGAAUGUUUUUCUUCAAGAACUGUGAUCUGCCAAGUCAUCCCUAUCAAGAGGUAUUCAAACAAAAUGAGGUCAGAAGGUAAAACAGUCCACGGACAAGAACAAAGAAGAAGAAGAAAGGAUACUAACCAGCAUUAGUUGCCUCCAACUCAGAUACACGACCCCGAAGCAACACCGGAUUCCAACGCUCAAGAAAUGAAGCCACCUCCGGGAUGGAAGCACCCUGCGACUUCAGCUGGCUGACCAUUACAUCCACCAAAGCCUGAUAAGAAGAGCGGAUGAACAUAAUGGCAACAAUUCAUGCAACAUAAAAGUCAAACUAAAGCACAGCACAGCACCUGGAGGUUGGAAAAAAGCGAAGGGAUCCCCAAGUCAGGAGAAAUCAACUGAUGAUCAGGAGCCAGACCACCACCCGAAGCAGCUUGCAGUAGACCAGCAGGAACGAACUCAGUACAUUCAGCAGAGCCUAACGCCAGACCAGUGGGGAUGCUGCCCUCUAAAGCGACCCCCUGAUCCGGAGUUUGAGCCACCACCAUGCCGCCAGAGUGUGGAGGUGAACCCACAUGAACAUCCAUGGAAGUGCAGGAAGGAGACCUCGCUCGGACACCCUCGGGGGCUGGGUCAAGGUUGGCACUGCCCACUCGAGCCGGGUCAUCCCCGGCAACACCCUCGGGGGCUGGGUAGUGGCCUGCACUCCUCACCCGAGCUGAGUCCUCCCCGGCGACAUCCUCGGGGGCUGGGCACGUGUCAGCACUAUUCAAGGGAUCCAAGCUCUCUGCCGUAACCACCUCUAAGGUUGACGGGCCUUCAGCUACUUCCAUGGGAUCAGGACGAUCCAGGUCAGCAUCCCGACCCUCAAUAUCAUGCUCUAAGGUCGACGAGGCGCGGGAUGAUCUCAACCCAGCAUCUGGCAUGGCUGCACAAGUUUCUGUUGCAUCAGCAUCUGCAGGUUCCAACAACAGGUUCUCAGGGACCAUAUCCUCUAGAGCUUGAUCAAAAUUGGCCAUGGACAGUUCUUGCAGACCAAUAAGGGCAGACAAGGCAGGAGAAGGAACUCCACUACUUCCACCGCUAGCGACGAACUGCCGACUGUUUUUCCGAGUUAAUGGAGUUUCAUUUUCUUCCUCCUCAUCUUCCACAGUAACAGCACAAACAGCAUCCUCAUUGGGGUCAGCAGCAGGCGGAGCACACCCAUUGGGAUCAAUGUCAGCAAAGCCAAUUGCAGUCAUUUCUUCGGCAGCAGGAGCUAAGGUACUGGCAUCCUCGUCAAAGCUAGAUACUCGCCGGAGGCGUCUUCUCUUCUUCUUCUGCUCAUCAGCAGAAGGCUCGGGCUGACUGGUUCGGCUAGGGCGCCUCGGGCGAGUACUGACGGUUUUCGGGACGUCCAAGGUCGCAUCAACCUCUGGAAGGGGCACCACUACCAAUGUACCCUCAGGAGCAGCAUCAGAUGAAUCCUCAGCUAGCAGAUCGAGCAUGUCAUUUAUGUCUGCAUCACUAGGGUUCAGGGGCACUUCAAAAUAAAUCUGCCGUUCAUCAUCAGGUAUCUCCCCGAGCGAAGCAACUAAGGAACGGACCUCUUCAGCAGAGGGUCACACUCUAAGACCCAAGUUGCUAUCUGUCACGGGCGGAUUGGACACAAAAAGGGUGAAAGCCUUGGGAGAAGGUAGGUUCCAAGCCGAGUAUGCCACUGGAGCACCAACGUUUGAAACUUUACCCCUGAGGAUCAUUUCGAGUCGGCUUACCAAAUCAACAGAAGGAAUUCUCCUAUUGGUAACUCGGGUUGAGUCGGCCAGCCCUCGGUAAAGAUAUGCCGGAUAGGCCCUGUCUUUCAGCGGCUGAAUGUUUUUGAAAACAAAAUCUGUGACCACAGCUUCGGCAGUCAGACCUCUCUCUUUCAGUAAUCCGACUUCAGUAAGCAACACGCCUGCCUCAGCCACUUCUUGAUCCGUGGGAGACUCAGUCCAACUUGGAGUACGAACGUCUGGCUGUCUUCCUGAGCGGGAAGGGAGAGAAUUGCCAUAAUUAUCAAUUAUAAACCACUCCAGACGCCAACCUUUAAUGCUGUCUUUGAGGGGUAUCUCGAGAUACUCGAUCUUCCGCCCACGGCGCAUCUCCAAACUGGCACCUCCGACCAACUGAUGUUGCCCCCCGGCCAUCCCAGGACGGCAGUGAUACAGAUACUUCCAUAAGCCAAAAUGCGGCAGCACGCCGAGAUAAGCUUCGCAAAGGUGAACAAAAAUAGAGAUUUGGAGAAUGGAAUUAGGGUUCAAAUGAGUCAGGUUGAUGUGAUAAAAAUCAAGGAGGCCACGGAAAAAAGGAGAUAUGGGAAGGCCAAGGCCGCGAAGAAGGAAAGGAGUGUAAACUACUGACUCGUGGGUAUCUUCGGUUGGGACAGUGGUCCCGUGGCAAGCCCGCCAAGAACAGAGUUCCCGCGGAGGAAGAACCCCGAUGGAGACAAGGCGGAGAAGCUCAGCUUCAGAAAUUACAGACAUGUGGUUACCUGCGAAGGGUAACUGGCUGUUGGGGUCGAUUGCGGGGAUCACUGCGGCAAACGAAUUCGCAGUUUUUCUCUUGGGCGCCAUCUUGCUUCUCACUGGCGAAACAGAGUAGGAGGCGAGUGGCAGAGAAGAUUCAGAUGCGGAAAUGCAAGAACUAGGGCACGGAAAGCAAAGGCGGCUAAAAGCGCGACUCUUAAGGGAUAUUCUUGAGCCAGAUACCCUUUCAAAAAGUGCUCAGUCAUUACUCGGCGGUCAUCUCCGAAAUCCCAGCAUGCCACGUGGGUAUCCGACAGUUAUUUCCAAAAAAGCCGGCGUGCCACCUCAUCACUCGGUUAUUUUCCUCAAAGUAACUUGUAAAGCUGGCUAUCACUCGGCGUUGCCUCUAAAACGCCGACCACGUGUUCAAUCGCUCGGCAUUACUUCUAAAAUGCCGAUGCCGACCUUCAAUCACUCGGCGUUGCCUCUGAAACGCCGACCACGUGUUCAAUCGCUCGACAUUACUUCUAAAAUGCCGAUGCCGACCUUCAAUCACUCGGCGUUGCCUCUAAAACGCCGACCACGUGUUCAAUCGCUCGGCAUUACUUCUAAAAUGCCGACGCCGACUUUCAAUCACUCGGCGUGUCCUCUAACGCGCCGACCAAGGGUUCAAUCGCUCGGCAUUACUUCUAAAAAUGCCGACGCCGACCUUCAAUCACUCGGCGUCGUUUCUAAAACGCCGACCCUGUAUUCUGUCGCUCGGCAUUACUUCUAAAGUGCCGAUGCCGACCUUCUAUCAUUCGGCAUUGCCUCUAAAACGCGGAUCUUGUGUUCGAUUGUUUGGUGUUACUUCUAAAACGCUGAUGUCAACCUACACAUCGCUCGGCGUUGUUUCUACUACAUCAAAAGAAUCAGUUCAACAUUCAGGAAAAGCAACGACAAGUCAUUGAAAAAGGGGGAUCAACGAUAGUUCUUCAUUAAAGGGAAGUUAACGAGUUUACAAACCAACUCUUCACGAGUUGGUACUUCCCUACUUCUACUCUACAUUACUACUACUACUAAACUACACUAUACUACUCUACACUAAUUACUACUACAUUAUUCUAACUAUACUAAACUAUACUAACAUCUAAUAAGACCAGUGGCGUCUAGCCACUGGCCCUGCCCCUGCCGCCGCCGCCGCCCUUGGUGCUGCCCCUGCUGCUGCCGCCCUUGGUGCUGCCCUUGCUGCUGUCGCCCUUGGUGCUGUCCCUGCUGCCGUCGCCGCCGCCCCUGCCACUGCCGCUGCCGUCACCGUCGCCGUCGUCGUCGUCGUCGUCGUCGUCGUCUUCACCCUCGUCGCCGCCGUCCGAGUCCUCCUCAUCCGAGGAGUACUCCGACUCAUCCGAGCCUUCGAGCCCGGAGCGCUCGACGGCCUGGAUGUACGUCCAGACCUCCGCGGCUAUCCCCUGGGAGUCGUCCGAGUCAUCGGACGACGCCGGGGGAGAGACGGGAGCCGGAGACCCCUCGGACUCGGAGGAGAACUCCUCCUCCGAGUAUUCCGAGUCAUCGAAAUCCUCCGAUGGAGGAGUCGGCUCGCGCUUGCGCUUGUUGUUCUUGCCCAUGGCGGAAGCAGACAGAGGGGAGGAAAAGAAGGCAGUAAGGAGCAGCGAAGAGAUGUGAAGAAACCAGAGAAGCAAAGGGGUUAUUUAUAGAAGGGAAAGGCAACCGCUCACUUCUAACCGCGGUCACUGAACAGUCGCAAGGCAUUCAAUAAGCACUUCCACCCAUCUGAAGACACGUCAGACGGCGGACGCCGUUCCAUGCAACACUACACCCAUUGGGACUCCAGUCAACAGCGCAAAGGAUAUGAUUACACUAGCCGUCCCAUCGCAUUACUACUCAGAGGCAACCGGCUAAAACACUCAGCGUACCAAGCCGUCCCUUGCCCACACCCAUUGGGGGGGGACGCCCAGGAAUUAUCAGUAUAUUUUUCAAACGGUCACAUCCGUGCAGGGCAUGCAGUGAAUACCUCAAGACAAAAAUGAGAUAUCAGUAAGGAUCAGAGGAAAGCCAAAUAUAGCCAGCAAAGUACAAGAUAUGGCCGACAGAAGCGACGUGAAGACUAGACAGAGAACGUCCAUCAAACGUCCAAUCAAUCGCAGAAGCAAAUAAAUUGCACUACCUAGCAACAUAUGGAUGGAUUGCAAACUCGGCUGCUAAAGACAAAAUAGACGCUGACCUCUGCAGCAAAAUAUUGAUGACAUAAUGCUGACCUCCAAAGCAUAAUGCAAAGUAGCUUCACGCCAGUUCCCACAAGCGAAAGGAAGACCUUCGAAUGGAUUAUCCAUAAAAAAUCCAUUUGAAGGUCGGGGGCUACACCCAUUGGGUGCACCUCCGGUGCACCCCAUGGAGUAUUAUUCUAAACUGAUAUAGCGCCGACUUCUAAGGCAUAGAGCAAGAUUGAAAAGACCAAUCCUCAACCGAGAUGCAGGAGCGCGAAUGGAGAUAACCUUUGGAAGAAGACCUUCGAGUAGAUUAUCUUCUAAAAUCUACUCAAAGGUCGGGGGCUACACCCAUUGGGUGCACCUCCGGUGCACCCAACGAAGUCCAGAGUCUUACAAUCCAAAAUGCCGACCUCUGAGGCACGAGCACAAAACCAAACUUUGGUCGAACAAGUGAUCAGAGCUAUAGAAGACAGCAGGAAGUCAUUUUUUGGACCUUGGAUCUUUGAGUUGAUUACCUCUAAAUCAACCCAAAGAUCGGGGGCUUGUGGGGGAUAGAUAUCCCCUGGGUCCACUAAAGAAGUAAAAGGCCUCACGAAAGGCCCAAGGGCCCAAUAAUUCGUAAGGUCAUGCUUUCGUGGGCCUAGGGAAAGACAACCAACAAAGAAAAGAAGACGUGAGACUGAUUAGUGCAAACCCAGACGGCCCACAACGUCGAACGAAUGAAUCGCAACAAAGACCCGACUUUCCCGCGCUGAAGCCCCCAUGCAACAGAGCCAUGCGAGGAUAAGUCGGCAAGGGUUACGUAAGGAUAAACUCAAGAGGUUCACUAUCUUUUAGCUACUUGUUGUUAUCAUAUCACAUGUACUGCCCCACGGUCGAGUAUAUAAGGCCUAGGGGGCAUCCCUUCAGAUCGAUCGACCCUGUUCUACUUAGCCACCCACAUAAACUCUCUGCGCCCUCUAUCCAGAGAACCCUCUUGUAACCACGCUCAUAUACUCACCAGGACGUAGGGUGUUACGCAUUUCUAAGCGGCCCGAACCUGCAAAUCUUGUCCAUUGUCCCUCGUGCGAUUGGCACGAACCAUUUUGCUACAGUCGUUGACACCGUCCUACUCCUAAAAACACCUUGAGGGGCAACCCCGGGUGUGCGGUCGGACCAAAAACACCGACAGGGGCCUGGGGAGAAACAACCAACAAAGCAGAGCGACGUGAAACCGGAUUGGUGCAAACCUGGACGGCCCACAACGUCGAGCGAGUGAAUCGCAACAGAGACCCGACUUUCCCGCGCUGAAGCCCCCAUGCAACGGAGCCAUGCGAGGAUAAGUCGGUGAGGGUUACGUAGGGAUAAACUCAAGAGUUUCACUACCUUUUAGCUACUUGUUGUUAUCAUAUCCACGUGUACUGCCCCACGGUCGAGUAUAUAAGGCCUAGGGGGCACCCCUUCAGAACGAUCGACCCUAUCUUACUUAGCCACCCAUAUCAACUCUCUGUGUCUUCGAUCCGGAGAGCCCUCUUGUAACCACGCUCACCAAGCAUACUCACCAGGACGUAGGGUGUUACGCAUCUCUAAGCGGCCCGAACCUGUAAAUCUUGUCCACUGUCCCUCGUGCGAUCGGCACGAACCAUUUUGCUACAGUUGUCGAUACCGUCCUACUCCUAGAAACACCUUGAGGGGCAACCCCGGGUGUGCGGUCGGACCCAAAACACCGACAGACUCAUAAAAGUGUUACUGGAAAAAGGUUAGCUUCAUGCCAAGCAAUCUACCUACCCUGUUAUUCCCAUAUCAUGUCAUCACUUUUGCAUGCAUGCCAUGGGACCAAACUUUACAUAGGUCUCGCACAUCGCCUUCCAAGAAGGUUACCAAGAAACUUUAUAGAGAUGAUGGCACAGAAGAUGACGAUGCUGCUGGUUACACAGACGUUGAUGCUGAGUAAUGGUAUGUCCAAUUCUCCCCUACAACUUCAUGAGAUAUAUGCUUCCAAGUGUUUCAAUUGCAUGUAGUAUAAGGCAGUGGGUACUAGGCAACCCUAAACCCCAAUUUGCUUAAUGAUAUGGCUCCAAUCUCCAGGGGUUCCUGCACUUUAUUAAGGAGACUGAGUGCCAUCGUGCUAUAACCCAAAAUCCAAAACGAAAGACAAAAGAAAGGAACAAUACAUUGAGAUUCGAUAAUCAUAAUUUAUUUUCUGGUGCAAAAAGAAUGUGACAUUACAGCCUUUCAAUUCAGAUAAACAACAGAAACAUUCCAAGCACAGAUUAAUAGUGCUCCCCCAAAGAAGUCACACAGAUUGAUAACUAUUUUAAGGUCAGAUGCAAUUUCUUGAUAAAUCAUCUGAGAAGGUAAAAAGAGAGUUCUCUUAUUUUGUACAAUAGUUGCUCAUAACUCAAGACUCCAAGAGAUCUUGGAUGCAGCAGUAGCUACAUAGCUUGCCUUAAGCAGCUACAUUAUUCCAGGACAAAAGAAAAACAUUUGCACCAAGAGUUGCAAUACAAGACCAUGAAAGAAAUGGUAAUGGAGAAAAGCUUAAGUUACUUUGCAAACAACAUUUAAUCAUAUUUUGUAGAAAAAGAGCGAUUGAUAGAAACAAGUACCUCUGGAUUUCAACGCGUCAAAUAGUUGUUGCCUCAUGUUAAUGAUCCUAUCAGCCACGGCUUUCAGUUCCAGAGUCCAUUGGUUGAACAUCUCGCUGCAAGUUAAUAAAUAGAAUCAAACAACAGGAAGUAACCACUUUGUAUAGCUCUUCGACCCACGUCUGAAUAUGGCACUGCAAUAACUACUUUUAGCUAUCUAGGACACUGUGAUGCAUAGGAACAACAUUCAAAGCAAGCUCGCAGGUCAUCAAAUAUCUCAAAUAAGCAUUCUAAAACUAACAAUAGGUCCAUAUGCGGUUCAUUGAACUAAUAUAUAAACAAAAGAGAAAAUGGUGUAACCUUCUACCAAUAUAGGUCAAAUUAGAAAUUAGCAAGUUUUCAGAAAAGAGGUCAAUAGGCUAAAACAUCAACAAGUCAAAAAAUCGAUAGUCAAAUGAUUUCGAAUGGUUUGCCUUCAUAACAUCUUCCGUCGAGAUGUACGGAAAAAAACUUAGACAUUAUAUUUGAGAUUGCAAUGCUUGCCAAAACUUGUUAAUUGAUUGCUACCUUUUUUAGUUGCAGUGCUUUUGGACACGAGCACCACCAGCUAUGGAGGCCCGCUUUUGGGAACUGAGGAUCGCUUUUGGGAACUAAGGAUCGCUUUUGGGAACUAUCCCAGUUCAUCUAGGUUGCUGUUAGAACUUCCCCCUGCUGUGUAGGGCGUAUGGUUUUAUGCUUGUAAGAUAUGGGCAGCGCUAUGCUGUGUGCUUCACUGCAAGAUAUGUCUUUUGUUGCUUGGUCAUAGCUAUGCUAUGCGUGCAAUGCUGCGAGGACCAUACUCGCAAUGUGUAAAGCAUGCCUAUAUAGUCUAGGCCUGAACAAACUAGAAACAUUGCUUCCCUUGGUACUUCUACUAUUUCUCUUUGUCAUUUUGUGCUACUACCAACCAUCUAUUUGUCGUUCCUAUGUAAAGUAUGCCUAUAUAGUCUAUUGGUUGUUCUGUGCUACUACCAUCCAUCUAUUAUGUGCUACUACCAGCCAUCUCUUUAUCUUAUAGUACAGGAAAUAAACGCCGGAGCAGCUCCUAUGCUCCAUUGAAGAACGAAUACAGUCCAAUUCUGGAUGAUGAGUGAGAAAGAUACUAAGGUAUAUCAUGUAACCCAUCCUUGAAUUUCAGAUUACCUUUAUUCAUGUGAUGUAGGUUGGCUAUAAUGUCAUGGUGGAUAAAUUUACCAAUAGAGUUGUGCGGUUGUCCAGCUAAGCUAGCCUCUAAUUGUACUAUUGCAUCAUGAUAGUCACACUUACCAUGGUACGUGAUGAACUCAUCCUGAAUAAUGCUCCAGAAAUUUAUUUUACAUUUUUUAUAGAAAAUAUAGAUCAUACCAUGCAGAGGGUCGCUUUCAAUGCAUUUUAGGUUUCGACUGUAACCAAUGUAUUUUUAGUACUGAACUUUAAUUUCCAGUUUUUCUAAAUUAUUGAUGUCAUUUUCGUUUUUAGAGUUAUCGUUUUCAAUUUCGUUUCCAGAAAAAAAAUAUAAAAACAAAAAUAGUCUUAGUGUUUAUCAGUUUCGGACCGUUUUCACGCCUAGCCUAGCUCCAAUCUCUCUGCUGCCAAACCUAAAAGAUUGGAGCGGGAUUGCUCUGAUUUUGGCAUUGUAUAAGGGGGUCGCUUUCAGCGAUGACUGCUGAGAGAACAAACAUUCCAGUACACGAGAAAAUCAUUGAGAGAUCAGGGUGGAUUGGUGGUGUAGCGUCACACAUCUUCUGUGCGCUUUGCCUAUUUGGGAAGUCGUUUCUUUUUUGCCCCUGUUUCGGGGCUGCUUUUUUCGUCCACAUUAAUUCAAAUGAUAAUAAAUAGACAUACAUGCAAACCGCGUUCAUAUGUUACUUAAUGAAUGUAUGAUUAGUCUAAAACGAAUUAUAUUUUGGGAUGGAGGGAGUACCUCUGAAUUAAGCCUUUCUUUUUCUUGAGAAUGGCGUUUCAGAUCAGCUUCUAUAGCAGACAAGCUACCUUUUGAAAGCAACCUUUCUUCAAGUGAUUCUAUAUCACGAGUAAGUUGUUCCACAUCAGCCUUUGUUUUCCUGUACUUGAGAUUGUCAUCAAUGUUUCUUUUCAACUGGCCCUGGCCCUGCAGUAGUUCUUUGCUCUUGUUUAACUCAGUUGAUAUUCUUUGAUGUUUUGCCAUGCAACUCUGUAACUGAGAAUGGCAAAGAGCAUGCCUUCCCUGCAGUUCCUUAAGCUUUUCGUUUUUCUUGGAAUCCAAGUACCUGAGAGAAAAAAUUCAGGUUACCAAUAAGCAGCAAAAGUCAGGUAAAUGAAAAUCUGAGAAAUGGAAAAGGAUACCUAACGUCGAUCAUGAUGAACCAUCCCAAAUGGGCUUGGCUGCUGAUCUGGAAGACUGGAGCUGGAAAGAUCAGCACACCGUUCCUGCUUCAUCUGGAAGCAGGUCGAUCAGAGUGGUCGUGCCCUUUCGAUAAAUGCAGGAGAGACAAUAUUGUCCUGUUCUAUACUUGCGUUCAUGGUAAUGUAAUCUUCCGCGUUGAUUUUCCAGUGUUAUAAUUUGUGUGUUAUAAUUUGUUAAUUUAUGUGUUAUAAUUUGUUGAACAUUAUAAGUUUUCCAGUGUUAAGCAUCCUAGUUUUUUCUCUAAAAGACUCACAAUUUUACCCAACCAGAAUGCAUUCAAGUUAUGCAAUUCAAAAAAAUUGGAAAAGGAUUGGCAUCCUUUGAUCCAUGAGAAGGUCAUGAAAGUCAUGCACAGGUACAUGCAUGUUAUAACCUACAUUUAGAGCUCAUUUUGUUAUGUCAUGUUUGCAAUUUGCACUUCACGUGAGCUUAACAUUGCUGAAUUUGGAAACAGGCAUGACAGGAGAGUUUUUGCAUGGACUGUUCAUGAUAUCAGCUCCAUGAAGAAGAUGUUGUAUGAGCAUGUUGAUGCCAUUAUGACCAGUAACUCUUCUCUUCUACAACGGCUUAUGCAGGAGACCAGAGCUGAGUAUAUGGAAGAUGGAUUUAUCUUACCAUAGGAAUUUCUAGCAGUCAGAACAUAAGGGUUUAACUUCUCAGCAGAGAGGACCAACUAGCGAGUUGGCUUUGAGGGAUUAUUCAUAAAUUAGAUGAUAAUUACUUUAGUUUCUAGCGCAUUCGGCACUUCGGUCAUAAAUUUCAUGUUGCUUUGUCUAAUUGUUACCACAAAUUAAUAUUUUAGUAUCAUUCCAAUUUGAUAUGCCUCAUAAUAACCAUGAUUACUGCAGGGCGCACGAAGUGCGCCUCCUGAUCUAGUUUCAUUAAAAACAACCAUUAAUUUAUUAUAAUAAUUCUAUACAAUGAUUUAUUAAAAACACAAAUUGGAAACAUAUAAUACCAACCUACUGUAAAAGUUACAGUAUCCAUCCUUAUUAUAGACAAUUUAUUCAACUAAUUGAUAAUGAAUCUAGACUCAUAUACAAAACACUUGCACUAAUUAUUGUAUGAAUCUAACUCAAUAUCAAAACUGUGAGUGCAUAUGUUUCUUCUUGUCACUGAGAUGUCAACAGUGGGCCUUAGCUGAGCACAGUCACCGUGGUGUACUGUCAGACAUGAAGUUGUUGAUGAGGUCUUGGUUGAUCAGUGCUUUCUUGUCAACAGUCACAAACGCCUGUUGGGUCAAGAUGUAAUCGACGCAUGGUGCCCACUUCCUAGUUCCCAAAUGAGCAGUUCUAACAUGAAGGCCACACCAGACUCGAUCAGUCACACACCUAAUUAUCUCCGAGUAAGAGUGGCCCUUCUUCCUAACGACCUCAAUCUACAAUGGAGUCAAACAAAAGACUAUUAAACAUUUCAAUAACCGGUGUGUGAUGAGAUGCUAUUACCCUUCUGGAUAUGGGAUCGAACCUGAGCAAGGAAGAUGUUAAUGGGCAAAACAAAAAAAAAGAUAUCUAAAAAUAACUGAAGUCUACAAGUUGUGCUUCAAUGGCACGCUUGAUAGCAGGUAACUCUAAGUGAUGUUGAAUAACAAAAAAGAGCAUAUUCAAUGAAACAAGAAAAUGAAGCAAACAUAAUGUAAAAGAAACUAAACAUGGUAAUGGACAAUACAAAGUAGCACAACUUACAAUGCACUUGGUUUCAUGUUACCUGCAAUAAUGACAACGAUGUUAUCUAUGUAAGUUCAACUCUUCCUCCACUAUAUUUCAUCCGUGAGUUGCACCUAUUCUGUAUUUUCCUACACUACACCAAAAUCAUACACUUCCUACGUUUUUUAACUUCCUACAGGUUUUAUAACAAACCGUAAGAAAUAAAUAACUUCCGAGAGGCAACUGGUACCUCUAGGAAAUAAACAUAACUUCCUACAGAUUUUUAUAAAAGCUGUCGGAAGUUAAAAAACCGUAGGAAGAUAACUAACUUCCUACGGCCUCCUCUAGGAAGUUAGGUUUCAUCUGUUCACCAGCCAAACGAAUAGCUAACUUCCUACGGCUGGCUCUAGGAAGUUAGUGAGAGCACCUAGAGGGGGGGUGAAUAGGUGAUCCUAAAUAAAAAAACUUAAAUCUUAAAGCCACAAACUUGAUUAAGUGUUAGAGCAAUAAAGCCAAAUGGCUAGAGAGGAGUUCUUGCAAAACACAAUAACCACAAAAAGAUCAACACAGAGAGGCACAGUGGUUUAUCCUGUGGUUCGGCCAAGUCCAACACUUGCCUACUCCACGUUGUGGCGUCCCAACGGACGUGGGUUGCACUCAACCUCUUUCAAGUGGUACAAAUGCCCACUUGAAUACCACAGUGUUUCUCUUCCUUUCACUAUAUCCCAUUUGCGAGGAAUCUCCACAACUUGAAGUCUCUCUCCCUUACAAAAGAUGAUCACAAAUGAACACAGAAGUAAGGAUGGGAUGAGCAACACACACAAGUUCAUAGCAAUACGCACACACACGGCCAAGACUUGAGCUCAAAUGAAUAUCACAAAGUUUUCACUAGAACAGAGCUCAAAUCACUAAGAAUGUCAAACGAGUGCGCAAAGACGAAGUGUGAAUGAUCAAGAAUGCUCAAAGUAUGCUUGGUGUGCUCCUUCAUGCGCCUAGGGGUCCUUUUUAUAGCCUCAAGGCAGCUAGGAGCCGUUGAGAGCAAUCUAGGAAGGCAAAUCUUGCCUUCUGUCGACUGGUGCACCGGACAGUCCGGUGCACCACCGGACACUGUCCGGUGCAGAUCUCUUUCCUAUUCUGGUGUAGCCGACCGUUGACGAUUUGGAGCCGUUGGCGCACCGGACACUAUCCGGUGCCCCCAUCAGACCGUUGGUCGGGCCACGCGUCACGCGCGAAUUGCGCAGCCGACCGUUGGCUCGGCCGACUGUUGGCUCACCGGACAGUCCGGUGAUUUAUAGUCGUACGCCGUCGUUCAAUUCCUGAGAGCAGCCUCUUCACCAGAGCCAGCCUGGCGCACCGGACACUGUCCAGUGCACCACCGGACAGUCCGGUGCACCCAGACUGAGCAGAGUCUUGGCUGCUUGAUCUAAGUCUUUUCCAUUUGUCUUUUCUCUGAUUCUAGCACUUAGACAAAUAUGUUAAUACACAAAAACCAAUGUACUAAGUCUAGAAUCAUACCUUUGUAUUGAUUUGCACUUUGUCCACCAUUUGGCAUAGUUUUAACACAUAAACAUUUGUGUUGGACACUUAAUCACCAUAAUACUUAGAAAUGGCCCAAGGGCACAUUUCCCUUUAUCUCCCCCUUUUUGGUGAUUUAUGCCAACACAACAAAAAGCAACAUAUAGAAGUGCAACAUCAAUGCAAAUGAGAACAAGAAUUUGUUUUGAUUCAAAUUUGGCAUAUUUGGAUCAUUCUUUGCCACCACUUGGUUUGUUUUUGCAAAUCAAACUCAAUUUCCUAUCUCUAAGUCAAAUUCACUUAUCGAGGCAUAGAGAAAGGUAUUCCAAGAGAAAUUGAUCAAAGAUUCAAAAACUCCCCCUUUUCCCAUAAUCAAACAAUCUCCCCACAAGAGACCAACUUUUGACAAGAAGAGACAUUAAGAGGAUUUUGACAAAACAAAAACUCUAACUCUAUUAUUUUCAAAAUUAGCUGAUCCAUUUCUUGCUUUGGCCUUAUUUUCUCCCCCUUUGGCAUCAAGCACCAAAACAGGAUCAAUCUUGGCCCUUAAACCCCAUUGCCUCACCCAAAAUCUUCAAAUAAGAGUAAAAGGCAAUAAGAGUAUGGAGAUGAACUUGGAGUAAGUUACCCUGUCAUCGGAGUGCAGUGGAAGUCUUUCAUGGUCCAAGUCCACCUUUCCCUUUCAAUCCACCUUUGAGACUAAAUCAAGCAAGCUCAAACACAUGGUUAGUCUCAAAGGGUCAAGUUGUAGCACAUCUCCCCCUAAAGUUGUGCAUCACUUGCAAAUGGACUUGUGAGGUCCAGGGAGUGCUUGUACAACUUGAGCACCAUGAAUAAACAACAAAAUGCAUAAGGAAUAUGAUCAAAGCAUAGAACACAUGUAUGCUAUAAAUCAAUCCAAGUUCCGUGAAUCUAAGACAUUUAGCUCACUACGCAACUUGCAAAAGGUCUUCUCAUCUAGAGACUUGGUAAAGAUAUCGGCUAGCUGGUUCUCGGUGCUAACAUAAAACACUUCGAUAUCUCCCUUUUGCUGGUGGUCUCUCAAAAAGUGAUGUCGGAUGUCUAUGUGCUUUGUGCGGCUGUGUUCAACAGGAUUAUUCGCCAUGCGGAUAGCACUCUCAUUAUCACACAGGAGUGGGACUUUGCUCAGAUUGUAGCCAAAGUCCCAGAGGGUUUGCAUCAUCCAUAGUAGUUGCGCGCAACACUGUCUUGCGGCAACAUACUCGGCCUCAACGGUGGAUAGGGCAACAGAAGUUUGUUUCUUAGAACUCCAAGACAUCAGGGACCUUCCUAAGAAUUGGCACAUCCCUGAUGUACUCUUCCUAUCGACCUUGCAUCCAGCAUAAUCGGAGUCUGAAUAUCCAAUCAGGUCAAAGGUAGACCCCUUUGGAUACCAUAUCCCGAAGCAAGGCGUAGCGACUAAAUAUAUAAGAAUUCGCUUCACGGCCACUAAGUGACACUCCCUUGGAUCGGAUUGAAAUCUAGCACACAUGCAUACACUAAGCAUAAUAUCCGGUCUACUAGCACAUAAGUAAAGCAAGGAACCUAUCAUAGACCGGUAUGCUUUUUGAUCAACGGACUUACCUCCUUUGUUGAGGUCGACGUGUCCGUCAGUUCCCAUUGGAGUGUUUGCGGGCUUGGCGUCCUUCAUCGCAAACCGCUUGAUCAAGUGUUGGGGACUUGUUCUCAAUAGCUUCAAUUUAAGAACAAGGCAACAUAAAAAGUGUUAAAUGUCAAAGUCCUUCGUCCUUCUGAGACAUUAUUUCCUUUCGGAUAUAAUGAAUUCCGGAUGAAGGUUGUAAAGGAAAAACCUUCGAAAGCACGAUAAACGAUGAGGAAGAAUUCGUAAAUGAAAUACGAAAACUAACAUAAACAGUUAAACAUUAUUAUCAACUUACUUUUUAUUUGCAUCAUCGUAUCAACAAUAACAAAUUAUAAAUGUACCUUCGAUUUGAAGGAAAGCAAGAGUACAAGCGUGAUGUAAAAGCGAAUGUCCAGUCAGCGUGAACAGUACGGGAGUACUGUUCAUCUAUUUAUAGGCAAGGGACGCAGCCCAUGUAAAAUUACAUUCAUGCCCUUUACAUUUGCUAAUAACUCUAUAGUAAUUAUUCGAGGUCUGAUUUGUCUUUUCAUCUUUAAGUCGGUUCCUCUUUUCUGUUGUCAUGCCGAAGCUUUCCUGCGCACAGCUUCGUGAUAACCUUGUCCUUCGUCAUAAUCACCUUUCGUCUCGCUCAGGCUUCGUCCUGACCAUGCUCUGUAUACUCAUGAUCCGAAUCCGAAGAUACCUGUUCACAUAUUUCACUUGGAAAACAUUGUCAAAUCAUGUUUUUGAGGACCUUCGGAAGCUGAAGGCCCCCAACAGUAGCCCCUCGCAAUAUUAAUUUGCAAGAAUGAUAAAUUCAGAUUGCGAUAUGGACGAAGGCCUUAAGCCGAAGGUCCGAAAAAACACAUUUCCUUUGCUAGAAUAGCAAUAGUCAAUGACAGGUGGUGCCCUGCCACUUGCAACGUAUUUGGCGUAUAAAUAAGAACGCACCGCGAGCACAUUUAGCACGCUUUCUUGCCGUCUGCUCUUGCCUUCCUAAUUUUUAGCUCAUUGCACACCAACGCUUGCCCGACUUUUUAAAUUUUUAAGCUUCGUCUUUGAGAGCACUUUUCUUAGCAUUUUUGAAGAUGUCUGAAGACAAGAAAGUUGUCGCAGAGUCGAAGCUAAGCCUUUCCGAAGAGAUGAAUCUCGGCUUCCUUGAAUCAAUAGCAAAGACAAAUACAGAGAAGAUUACUAGGGAGAUUUUAGAGGGUUUAUCUGAAGACACUAGUGACAGUGACAGCUAUGAUGUGAAUAGUGGUGGUGAAGAUUCCGAAGAUCGACCUUGGCGACCAAGCCAUGCAGUUUUUUGAAAAUCAAGCAUUAAACAAAGCCAUCUUGCCAAUAUGAGAGGUAGAUAUUUUUGGGAUUUAUCUAUUGUGAGGGCUGAUGAAGGAGAGAAAACUUGUCCGACUCCCGAGGAGGAUGAAGUCGUGAUAUUUCGAAGUUUCCUUAAAGCUGGACUUCGGUUUCCUUUGAGCAGUUUCGUGGUAGAAGUUUUGAAGAUAUUUGAAAUCUAUCUCCAUCAAAUCACUCCCGAAGCAAUCAUAAGGAUGGGAAUCUUCGUAUGGGCCGUGAAGAGCCAAGGUUUGGAGCCAAAUGCAAAAAGUUUCUGCAGUAUGCAUGAGCUAUUGUAUGAGACGAAACCAUGGGGUAAGGAGCAAUAUCACAACAAUUUUGGUUGUUAUAGCUUUGGUGCCCGCUCUGGGUCAAGUUGUCCCGUGCCAACUUUUCGGAAGAGAUGGCCUGGGGACUGGAUGAAGGAAUGGUUCUAUGUGAAGAACGACUUGAAAACGCGAGAAGAUAUUAAAGAUAUCAUUAUGCGCCCUAUCUUGCAGCGCUUCGGCCUUUGGAAACCGAAGGUGGAAAUUGACGAAGCAGCCGAAGAAUGCCAGAGGGCCUUCGGCGUGGUUUGCUCUUUCAUCGGGACAAGGGAUUUGAUCCAAGAACAUAUUGCCUUCAGAGUAUGGCCGCUUGCAGAAAAGUGGGAAAUGCCGAAGGAAACCGUCAGCGAACCUAUCGAAGGUGGAUUAGUUAUGUUAAAAUUCUCCUUCAAAUAUGGAGAUAAGUUCGGCGAGCCAGAUGAUGACUGGUUGAAAAGUAUUGAGGCCAUAAGCGAUGAGCUGCUUGGGCCAUACUCGAAGGCAGAAGAUACUGCACUGUCUGCAGCCUUCGGAGGCCGGAAGAAGAAAAGACUUAACCGAGUAUUUGAUGCCGUUGGGUUCGUCUAUCCUGACUACCGCUAUCCAAUACGGGGUCAGAAAAGGAAAGAUACGGCUUCUGCGAAGGAGGCUGCUUCAGCCGCUCCUAGUGAGCCAGCACCGAAGAGGAAAAAGAUGAAGGUUCUUACGCACCGGCCACACUAUAUUGAACCGGACAUAGUGCCCGAGUUUGUCGGUGAAUCCUCUUCGGCCCCCGAAGCCAAGGAGCCGACUCCCCUGCCGAACAUUGAAGAGCCGGUCAUAAUGUCGGAGAUAGAGAAAAUAGAAGAACCGAAGGCUAAAGAAACAAGGGCAUCUGAAAUUUUAAGUCCUUCAGCAAAAGUUGAAGUACCAAAAAGCCAAAAAGGGCCAGCAUUGACCCCCAAAAGAAAAAGGAUGGUUAAUGUACUGGAUGUAUUGGAGACAAUAAAGUCUUCAAGCACCAUUCCAAAGAAAAUUGUCGAGACUCCCGAAGUGCAAAUCGAAGCCUUUGGUGCCGAAGCUUUAAAGCACCAAUCUGAGACUGAAGCUGGGCCUUCAGAGCCUGCCAAGGUGAAGUCCUUGGAAACCAAAGAAACAGAAACAGCAGAACAAAUUUUGGCUGAAGAAACUGGCACUGCCGCCCCCGAAGCAUUUUCCAAAGCUUUCGAUUAUAUUUUACGACAUGCUUCGGGGAAAGAGUUGACUGAAAAAGAAAAGCAAGAGGCUCAGUUUUAUGCCCAAAAAUUGAAAUAUCCAAAGGGGGCGUUGAUAUUCAACGACAGCGGAGAAGAAGAUUUCUUGUAUUGUCUCCAUGACAGCAAGGAAAUUUCUGUCUGUCGGGAGAUGAGCAAGAGUUUCGGAUUCCCAACAUUAGAAGACGGGCUCUCGGUGUUGUCAAAAAACGAGCUAGCCGACAGUUUGGCGUACAACAGCUUAAAGGUGCAAAAAUGAGAUCUUUGUAUUAUUUCUUGAAACCAAAAUUUUUCAUUUGCUUAAACUUAUUGACACGCAUUUUUUUUGCAGGGCCUUAUACUUAGCAAUGCCCUCAGGGCACAAAAAGAUGCCGAAGACGAAGGGUGUAUUAUGGCCCUGAGUAACCUUCGUUCCGAAGUAAUUGAACUAAGGAACGAAGGUCUCGAAAAAGAUAAAAUAUUACAUUCAUUGGUGAAUAGAAUAAAAGAAGACGAACCUACUUUCAGAGCUCAAGCUGAGGCUAGGAAGCGUGAAAUUGAGGAUCUUCGGAAACAACUAGCCAGAGCUAAAGAAGAACGCACACUUGAAGAAACAAAACGAGAAAUUAGUGAACAAUGGGCAAAUCACUUAGAAAAAAACGUUGAAGAGCUUCGUGCGUCCAAGAAAAGGUGCUAUGACAAAUCUAUAGAAUGUGUCAAGAAAAUAAGAACCAGCUUCGCUAGCAUUGGCGCAUUCUCAAGUGAGGAAAACUUCAUAAGGGGUGACCCCGAAGGCCCAAUUGGAUGGAUCAGCCACGAAGCUGAAGCCUUUGAAGAGGUUUUGAAUAGCCGCGGAGACAUAUGUGCCUUUUCGGGUGCCAGGGGGAUUGCCACUAUUUUGGAGAGGAAAGGUUGUGACCAUGUGAAAUCCUUGGCACAAUCCGAAGCCGCCUUAUCUUUUGAAGAUAUAAAAGACCCCUCGGCCGAAGCAAGCCUAGUUGGUGGAAAAAAUUUCACCGACAUCUAGGACAAUGGUGGCCGGGAGAUGGCCCAAGAAAUUAUACGAAAAAGCGGAAAAGGUUUUCAUGACGCUAGAAAAGUAGCAGAAGCCGCUGAGAAAAAUGCGGAUCUCGAAGGGCAAAUAGGUACUGACUAGUAGUUUUUGGCUCUUUGUUGUGAUUUUUUGAUUUCAAACUUGUCUACGCUUUGUAACACAGUCGCACUUUCUCCUCCCUCAGAGCCUGCUGAGCCAUCGGCGGACCCCCAUGUGAAGGGAGACGACGAAAUUAGAAAAAUGGCUGAAGCUAUCAUGGAUAAAGUUGUUGAUCAACUACUAAACGAAGCUGCAUAAGUAGUUCUAAGGGAAGAUUAGAUGUUAUUGUAAAAACAUUUGGAAUGUAAUAUUUGUUGAAAAUCAUGUGUAAUAUUCUGUAAUAUAUAAGCUAUUUAUGGUUCAAUUCUUUACGAUGCAUGAAAUGUUACAUACAUACCGUUUUUGAGCCUUCGGCGAAAAAACACCUUCCCUUCUUUUCAUGCUUCGUAAAUAAUAUCCGUAUUUUCAUAAAAACAUCCAAUCUUCGUAAAAAUCAGUAUACAAUAGAUCUUUUCAUUUCAGAAUUUGACGAAGGCAUGCUUCUUCAAUAAUUAUUUUCGUGCCUUGGCCCUGUUUCUUCGAAACAAUUUCUGAAUAUCAACAUUGAAACCCACUUCUUGCGUCAUUGAUGCAAUAUGAUGUAUGAUGUUAUGCUCAUGCAAAUGAUGUGAUGAUAUGAUGUUAUGCAAAAUGAUAUUUGCCGAAGAUCGACAUUUAUUUUUUACUGCAAGCCUCCCUUAGGAGCUUCUUCGCCUUUUACUUCAGCGGAAUCAGUGUUUAUUUUUCGUUGUAAGCCUCCCUUAGGAGCUUCUUCGCCUUUUACUUUCAGCGGUAUCAGCGUUUAUUUUUCGCUGUAAGCCUCCCUUAGGAGCUUCUUCGCCUUUUACUUUCAGCGGUAUCAGCGUUUAUUUUUCGCUGUAAGCUCUGCAUUCCCUUCGGAACGACUUUUGAGCAGAGAACUUACGCUACGCUCCCUUAGGAACGACUUUUUGUUAGUUCGGAGAUUAUCCUUGUAACCAAAAAUUCUUAUGCUUCGGCAACUCCGCUAUUUUGUGGAGAAGGUAUAUUUUUACUGUGGCGAAAACGAAACUAUUACAAGAAAUCGAAAACGACAAAAAGCACUUAGGAUCUCAAUAAUUGUUCCUUAUUAAAAAGAAAAUGAUACUAAAUGUAAAAACUGCUGCCGAGGUAGGAUAUUUGUUAGUAAAUGUGCUUCGAUUCUGGCACAGUACUAUUGACUGUGCGAGCUUCAAACUCUUCUCUGAAGUCCCGUUGGAGAUGUGUAUGCUGACUCCCUUCUGGCUGCUGGCCUCAUUGCAUUGGUGGUGGAGGUGGAGGCUGUUGCCAAGAUGCCUGAGGUUGGCUUGCCGAAGCGACAGAAGCUGCAGGGUGGUUGCCUACAUACUCUGGAAUGUAAGGCGAAUGGUACGAAGCAGUGUGCAUAACUUGCUUCGGCUGGCUCUGUUGGGUGCAGCUUCUGCUAUCUCCUUUUGUUUCUGGAUGGUAACAUGGCACAUCCUGGUGGUAUGGCACAUCCACAGAAUAGGCAAUAAAUCUUCCUGGGCUGAUCCCCAAAUCUUCCUCUGAAGCCCCUGGCACCUCUGCCCCUUGGAGCUGGAGGCCGAGGAUAGUUCUGCUGCUGCCCCGAAGCCUGGGAGGAAUAUUGCGGCCUCUGUUGCUGGCUUCCCCUGUCAUCGUUCUGAGUAGAAUGAAUCGAUCUGACAUGUCUGGGAUGAAUUCUUCCUCCGAAGCCCCUGGCUAUUUCGGAGAACCUGUAAGCUUCCUCUCUUCUCUGUCUAAAAUCAUUGUCAGCGCGGAUGUAUUCAUCCAUUUUCUGAAGCAGUUUCUCCAGAGUUUGAUGGGGCUUUCUGGCAAAGUAUUGGGCUGAAGGUCCCGGCCGAAGCCCCUUAAUCAUGGCCUCAAUGAUAAUUUCAUUGGGCACUGUUGGCGCUUGUGCCCUUAGGCGUAAGAACCUUCGGACAUACGCCUGAAGAUAUUCCUCGUGAUCUUGGGUGCACUGGAAUAAGGCUUGAGCGGUGACCGGCUUCGUUUGAAACCCUUGGAAACUGGUGACCAGCAUGUCCUUCAGCUUCUGCCAUGAUGUGAUUGUUCCUGGCCGAAGAGAAGAGUACCAGGUUUGUGCAACAUUCUUGACAGCCAUGACGAAAGACUUCGCCAUGACUGCAGUAUUGCCACCAUAGGAAGAUAUCGUUGCUUCGUAACUCAUGAGAAACUGCUUCGGAUCUGAGUGUCCGUCGUACAUGGGGAGUUGAGGUGGCUUGUAGGACGGAGGCCAAGGUGUAGCCUGUAGUUCUGCUGACAGAGGAGAAGCAUCAUCAAAAGCAAAAUUUCCAUGAUGGAAAUCCUCAUACCAGUCAUCCUCAUUGACGAAGCCUUCCUGAUGAAGCUCUCUAUGCUGAGGCCUUCGGUUCUGCUCAUCUUGAGCAAGAUGACGGACUUCUUCAGAGGCUUUGUCUAUCUGCCUUUGCAGGUCAGCUAGCCUAGCCAUCUUUUCCUUCUUUCUUUGUACCUGCUGAUGGAGCAUCUCCAUAUUUCUGAUCUCUUGAUCCAAGUCGUCCUCCUGAGGCGUUGGACUGGUGGCCUUCCUCUUCUGGCUUCGGGCCUCCCGAAGAGAGAGGGUCUCCUGGUUGGGAUCCAGCGGCUGCAGAGUGGCAGCCCCUGUUGCUGAAGCUUUCUUUGGCGGCAUGACGAAGGUCUAUGCUUGCCGAAGGUGUUCAAAAGUCAAAAGUGGAAGUGAGUUCACCAGAGGUGGGCGCCAAUGUUGGGGACUUGUUCUCAAUAGCUUCGAUUUAAGAACAAGGCAACAUAAAAAGUGUUAAAUGUCAAAGUCCUUCGUCCUUCUGAGACAUUAUUUCCUUUCGGAUAUAAUGAAUUCUGGACGAAGGUUGUAAACGAAAAACCUUCGAAAGCACGAUAAACGAUGAGGAAGAAUUCGUAAAUGAAAUACGAAAACUAACAUAAACAGUUAAACAUUAUUAUCAACUUACUUUUUAUUUGCAUCAUCGUAUCAACAAUAGCAAAUUAUAAAUGUACCUUCAAUUUGAAGGAAAGCAAGAGUACAAGCGUGAUGUAAAAGCGAAUGUCCGGUCAGCGUGAACAGUACGGGAGUACUGUUCAUCUAUUUAUAGGCAAGGGACGCAACCCAUGUAAAAUUACAUUCAUGCCCUUUACAAUUGCUAAUAACUCUAUAGUAAUUCUUCAAGGUCUGAUUUGCCUUUUCAUCUUUAAGUUGGUUCCUCUUUUCUGUUGUCAUGCCGAAGCUUUCCUGCGCACAGCUUCGUGAUAACCUUGUCCUUCGUCAUAAUCACCUUUCGUCUCGCUCAUGCUUCGUCCUGACCAUGCUCUGUAUACUCAUGAUCCGAAUCCGAAGAUACCUGUUCACAUAUUUCACUUGGAAAACAUUUUCAAAUCAUGUUUUUGAGGACCUUCGGAAGCCGAAGGCCCCCAACAUCAAGUCUUGUGUGUACUUAGUUUGGGAGAUGAAAGUGUCGUCCUUGAGUUGCUUCACUUGGAACCCAAGGAAGUAGUUCAACUCGCCCAUCAUCGACAUUUCGAACUUUUGAGUCAUCACCUUGCUAAACUCUUCACAAGACUUUUGGUUAGUAGAACCAAAUAUUAUGUCAUCGACAUAAAUUUGGCACACAAAUAAGUCACCAUCACAAGUCUUAGUGAAUAAAGUUGGAUCGGCUUUCCCAACCUUGAAGGCAUUAGCAAUUAAAAAGUCUCUAAGGCAUUCAUAUCAUGCUCUUAGGGCUUGCUUAAGUCCAUAGAGCGCCUUAGAGAGCUUACACACGUGGUCGGGGUACCGUUCAUCCUCAAAGCCAGGGGGUUGCUCUAUGUACACCUCCUCCUUGAUUGGCCCGUUGAGGAAAACGCUCUUCACAUCCAUUUGGAACAACCUGAAAGAAUGGUGAGCGGCAUAGGCUAACAAUAUGCGAAUUGACUCUAGCCUAGCCACAGGAGCAAAAGUCUCCUCAAAGUCCAAACCUGCGACUUGGGCAUAACCUUUUGCCAUAAGUCGUGCCUUGUUCCUUUUCACCACCCCGUGCUCGUCCUGUUUGUUGCGGAACACCCACUUGGUUCCCACAACGUUUUGCUUGGGACAUGGCACCAGUGUCCAAACUUCAUUUCUCUUGAAAUUACUGAGCUCCUCCUGCAUGGCCAACACCCAGUCCGGGUCUAGCAAGGCCUCUUCUACCAUGAAAGGAUGCAUUCUACCCGCAAUGGUUGGCCAUACAAUCGCGAUUCAUAAUGGAAAAGAACAUAUACCUAUUUACAUAACAAAUCCUAUGGUAGGUCGCAAAUUGGGGGAAUUCGUGCCUACUUGGCAUUUCACGAGUUAUGAAAGUACAAGAAAGGAUACUAAAUCUCGUCGUUAAUUGAAUUCAGAAUAGAAAGAUUCAGAAUAAACAAAGAAAUACCCAAUAUCCUGUUGGAACAAGAUAUUGGGUAUUUCCGGCUUUCCUUCCUUCAAAAAUUCCUAUAUGUUUAGGAGAAAAACCUUAUCCAUUAAGGUAAGGAACUUCAAGAGCAGCUAGGUCUAGAGGGAAGUUGUGAGCAUUACGUUCGUGCAUUACCUCCAUACCAAGAUUAGCACGGUUGAUGAUAUCAGCCAAUA